RNAcentral lists this long non-coding RNA (45601 nucleotides) under Citrus maxima (pomelo). RNAcentral describes it as "long non-coding RNA (CMAX_LNC003006)". The record is from RNAcentral. Lineage: Eukaryota; Viridiplantae; Streptophyta; Magnoliopsida; Sapindales; Rutaceae.
CGGGGCCUAGUGAGACGCCAUCUUUGUUAGGCACAUAGUAUUUGGAGACAGAAUUCAAACUAUAUAGUCUCCGGGCACCAGAAGCAUCAAGUGAGCAUUCAACAACACUGUAGCUAGCUAGAAGCCUGAGAAUCCGAUCCAGCAUCAUGGGUGCGUCUUUGUUCUUGGUGGUCAACUAGGCUGCAAUAUCUGAAGCAGAGAGCUUUGCACCAGGACCAGCUUUGUCUAUGAUCUCGAAAAUGCCUAGCUCAUACACCGCUUGCAUGGCCAUGGGUAGCACUAUACCCCUCGCCAAUUGAUUAGCAUAUGCAAAGCUUUGGUCUCUCUCUCCAUCAACUAUAGAAUCCAUUUUAAGUUUCUUGAAUUUCUUCUACGCUUUGCGGGGUUUCUUGUUUGGCCAGGGGAUUAUAUAUAAAGAAUUGUUCAUUCAAAACUAACAAGAGAAGCAUUCCAACCAUGUGUUUUCUACAGUAGUGCUACAGUAUUAAAUUACAAUUCUACAUUCACGGGACAAAUCUAGACAUUAAGUAAUUGACUUAGUAAUAAAAAUAUCACGAUCAAUUAGAUUCUUACAAAUUUCAGAUGCACACUUAGUUUUGCUACCAUUUAUUUGAAUGAAUUUAGUUCAACUUAUUUAACGAACAUCAUUUAUCUUUAAUUGUGUUUGCACAUCAACAUAACAAACUAUAUCUUUAUUUUAAAAAAAUUCAAAGUAAUCACCGAAGAAUAUUUAUUAAAAAAUUAUAUGUAUUAAAGACACGAAGACCAAAAUUAUUAUUUGAUUCUAACAUGUUUAGUAGUCCUUUAUUCACAGAUAAUUACAUUAUGCGAAAAGAGCUGUUCGUCCAUAAAAAUUUACGUACGGCUCAUUUUCCUUAGUGAAUUAGUAGUUGCUGGCAAUUAACAUGCAUGAAAAUCAUGUGUCUACUGGUUGUUAAUUUCAAAAAGUUAGGCCUGCAAUGCGAAAAGGACAGAAGAUGCCAUAAAAGUCUUUUUGGACCUGAAGGCAUUUGCAAUUACGUGAAGGUGUUAAACACAGAAGAAAUUCAAAAACAUUAAUUAAAUACGGCUUCUUAUGAUUCAGCGGAAAAUAUUGAUCACAAAGACCAGCUGGAGCUGAUAGUGCUCACCAUCAAUCAGCUGUUGAUGGGUAGUAACAACCUUUAAUUGCAAUCAGUGAUUGAAAUUAUGGGACUUUUGUCAUUUCAAUUGCAAUCCCAAAUGGGACCUAACCAUUGGCUGUAUUAUUAUCAUCGCUUGCCAAAUCCAAAAGCAAAGGGCUUAUUGAUUUCAAAGAAAAAGAAUUGUUUGUUCAGGCCAUAUUAGACCAUUUGCUUCGUUGUGUUGAUGGCUGUAUUUUAAGACCAACAAAAUUAUAUACAUAUAAAUGUAUAUUCUUUUAUAUAUAUAUAAAGAGAGAGAGAGAAAAAGAGCUUUUAAUGAGGGACUCCUCAUUUUAUUAAAAUGAGUAUCAAACUAAUAAAUAAGAAAAAUGCAUAUUCAGAAUGUUUUAUCUUAUAAUAUAUUAAAGUUUAUAUUUUUCUAUCUUUAACAGCUUAACAACAGAACAGUGGGUGGACCCAGUUAAAGCUUAAGAGGGGCUUCAGCCCUCUGAACCAUUAUUUUUUUUUAAGUCUGCCCUGAGCACCUUCUGAAUGAAUUAAAUAAAAAGCAUUUAGAAAUGUUUUUUAAAUAAUAAAACACUUGUAGUCCAAUGGUACAUGUGUUAUUUAGUGGUUUUAGAGACUUGAUUCGAAUCCCAAUAAUUUUUUGAAUGUGUGCGUGGUCCUCAAUUUUUUUCACGUGCAAUAUAAAAUUAAUUGAAGAAAAAAUAUUGGCCUGGUUAGAGGUAGGUUAUAGGUAGGUAGGGUUUAAAGAAAAGAGUAAAACUUUAUUUGCCGGACGCAAUUAGAAAACAUGGCUCCGAAACAUUUAUUGAAAACUAAUUUAAGAGAAAAUGUUGGCUUAUUUAGAAGUAGGUAACAAAUAAGUACGAUUUUAAGAAACAAGUAAUACUUUAUUUGCGGGAUCCGAUUAAAAUACAAGUGUGCAACCUAAGAAGGGGGUGAAUUGGUAUUUUAAAAAUUAUCCUAACAAAACCACACAACAAUCAAAUCUAACGCCUUAAUAAAUUCGAAAACAAUAAGUUCGAUAAAAGCACAAUAACAAAUGAGUAAGAGAGAAGAGAAACAAACACACGAAUUUUUACGUGGUUCGGCAAUCCCCGCCUACGUCCACGCCUCCAAGCAAUCCAAGCUUGAGGAUUUCACUAUCCAAGCCUUCCAAGGCUUCAAAAGUUUACAAUUGACUUCAAGGUGUCAAUGAACCUUUACAACAAAGAGAUUAUCUCUCAAUCUCUUCACUCAAGUGUCACGCACUUAAACACUCACAAUUAAGAUGAGGAAUUGAAUAUUACAAUAAAAACCUUCUUCAAGAGUAGAUAUACAAAUUGAAGAACAAAAGAUGAUUCAAGGUUUUAUGAUUUACGAAAUGAGAGCUCAAUGAACGUUGUGUGCUUUUUGAUUUUGCUUGCAAGAGUGCUUGAAAAUGAAUUGGAUUUGAGUUUAUAUAGUUUGAACUCAAAAACUAGCCGUUAUGCACAUUUUGGUGAUAACCGGCUUACCGUUCAUGGAAUUCGGUUAGCCGCUUUUAUGUUACCAUUAAGGCAAAAAUUUGAAUUUCAGAACAUCCGGCAUGCCGCUUUUCAUAUCCGGUUAGCCGCUUUCGAAAUCCGAAUAGCCGCUUGCAAAAUUCGGAUAGCCGCUUGCGAAAUCCGGAUAGUCGUUUAUGCUUCAAAAGCUUACUGCCCAAAAUCCGGAUUGCUGUUUACCAUAUCCGGUUAGCCGCUUGCUACAGUAACCAGUACAAUGCACUAUUUUCUAAAAUUAUAAUUUGACCCCAAAACUUUAUAAAACUGUAUUAUGGCACAAAACGUUAUAUUAUUUUGUAAAUAUGUCCAAUUUCAAAAUCUCUAAAUAAUGCUUGCUAUUCCCAAAACUUUUUGAAAUUAUGAUAUGGCCCAAAAUGUUAUGAAACUUUUUCAAUAAGUCCUUCUCCAAAAUUUCGAGCAAUACUUGUUGAUUUCAAAGUUUUCAAAACUCUUUCAAUUAAAUCAUAAACUUGAAAAACAACUAAUUUCAUAAAAUCAUUUUUCCAUUAAAUAUAAAAUCUUUAUAAUGUGAAAGUAAUGAUUUAUUUAAAAUAUAUAAAAAAUAAUUUGAGCUUAAAAUAUAAUCUUGUUUGUUAUCAUCAAAAUCAACAUUAUGGAAACAUAUAUGUUAACACCGAUUAGAAAACAUGGGUUUGAAACAUCUACUAAAAAGAGUAUUUUUGUAUAAAAAUUUGAGGAGUGUUAGCGACAAUCACCUAUCGUGACUAGUGUCUUGGUCCUCAAUUUUUCUUUUUCACGUUCAAUAUAAAAACUAAUUGAAAAGAAAAUGUUGGCCUAGUUAGAUGUAGGUAACAAGUAAGGUUCUAAAAAAAAGAGUAAUACUUUAUUUGCAGCACCCGAUUAGAAACACAUGCCGAAACAUAUAUUAAAAAGGCAUUUUUAUAUAAAAAUUUAAGGAGUGCUAGCAACAGUUGUCCUUAUAGAUGACUGAGACAAUUAUUACCAAGCCCUCUCAAAUUUAAGUGUUUGGUCCAGCCACCGAAGAGAACCCAUGUGUGAUUAUGUACUAUGGGUGCAUUGGUACAUUGUUAUUAUAUUGUAUGUUUUGUAUUAUUUUAAUGCAAACAUAUUGUAUUAUAUUGUAUUGUAUUAACACUGUAUUAUAUUAAUACUGUACAACAUUUAGUGCUAUAUUGUCCUAUAUUAAUUUUUAAUUAUACUAUGUUUGGUACUGCAUUGCAUUGCACUAUAGUUUUUUGGUUAUCAUAAAAAUUAUAUUUUUAGAAAAUAAAUAUUUACUUUUUGAUAACUUUGUCAAAAAUAUUUUAAUAAACUUUUUGAUGAUAUAUCUUUUGAAAUAAAAAUCCAAGUGAAUAAAAUAGAUAACUUAAAAAAUAUCCUAACAUAAAUAAAUAAUUAAAACAUAUAAGCUUUGUUAAAAGAAAAAAGACAUAAUAGAGAUAAUUAAUACAAAAGUUUGCACAUACUAUAACAUAGUCACAAAUAAAAGGAGUUGCAUUUUAAAAAAGGGUUGCUUUGUCUCAUAUAUCAAAUCAGGAUAAAUAAUUGUGCAUGGAUAGAGACAAACACAACUUUCACUCAAUCCUUAGAUAGGGUGUAUUCUUUCCCAACUAUCCAAAUGUUAGUUAAUUUGUGACCACUGCUCAUCCUCGCAAUCAAGAAUUUCUUCUAUUACCUGCCUAUGAAAAAAUGUUAUUAAAUGGACAACAAAAGAACCACAACAACAUCAUUUCUAAGCAAUGUACAAAACAAAUGGACUUAUGUACCAAGCUUGGCCUACCAUGCAUGUAUGUUAUGCAAAAUAUUGCACAAUAUGCAAAAAUGUGGUUGCAUGUGUGGAAAUUUAACCACAUAGGUAGAAUAGGUGCAAUUUUACUAAGUUGGACGAACAUGCCCCAUAAGCUAUCCAGAUGUAAUGGGAUGCUGAGAUGGGCGAUAGGAGAAUGCAAAAUGGAAGUUGAUGCCAAGCAGUUGUCAAUGUAGAGUUUAUGUCAACUCAGGAGUGCUUACAAGUUCCAAAGAUGAACCAACAUAAUUUUAGUUCUAAACACGUACUGAUGUUGAAAGAAACGUGUGAGAUGAAGUGCCUCGGGAUGCUGUAGAUGUAGUGGGAUCUCAAUCAAAUGCAUGAUUUUUUGGGAAAAAACCUUCUUACAAUAAGACCACUGAAAAACUUCGAUCAUAAUAUUAUCACCAUCAUUAUUUUCCCCAUUUGUGGAAUGUGAGAGUUGAUUAUGAGAAUUUUUUUUAUCUCUGUAUCAUGUGACUGAGAUGCUGGAACAACUUGAACCAUCUUUCAGAUACAACUCAAAGAUCAGAAAAUACAAACUGUUGAUGAAAAAAUUUGGUCGGCUAUUGUGUGAAUACGUGCCCAACCCAACACUUAAAUUGUUAUUGAGGAGAUGGUUUAACACUACAACUUUACUGAAUUAGUAGUUGUAGGCAAAUUAACAUGCAUGAAAACCCUGUGCGAACAGGGUGGAUAAAAAAGCCCAUCUGGCCUAAGCCCGCAAGCUUUUGGCCCAUCCUUCUACGCGAGGAAUUAGAUAAGAGCUUAAGAGAAAAUGUCCGGACUAGGUCCAUCACUCAAUUUUUUUUUACAAAAUAAAUUUAUAAAUUAGAAUAAUAUAUUAAAAUUAAAAAAAAAAAACUUAAAUUCUUAAUUCAUAAAUCAAUAACGAUUCACAAAAUCUAAAAUUAUAAUAUUAAACUCUCUCUUAAGCGUUAAUUACUUAAGAUGAUGUUUAAAUUAGAAAAUGCAGUAUUAAAAAAAUUAAAUUUUUAGCAUUUAUUUGCUUAGUUUUCUUCAUUUAUUAUUUUAUUUUAAAAUAUUUAAUUUCCUUAAUUCAUUGUUAAUUAUAACAACUUAUUAAUUAUUAACUCAUUUCAAAUUUACAACAAUUAAAAAAAUAAAAAAAUAAGUGAAAGUCUAAGUUUGGCCCUUAUGCUUCUACUAAAAUGGGCUUGGGCUCGGAAAAGCUCGGCCUAAGCCCACAUUUUGUCAUCCUUAUGUUCAUAUUAGGUAGGAUUGUCAACUUCAAAUUAUUAAUAUUAGGAGCUGCAAAAUAAAUAAACGAAUCGAAUUUGAAUCAACUUAAUAAACGAAUUGGGUCAAAAUUUGAUGGAUUCGAAUUCGAUUUAUUUAAUAAGUAAAUCGUAAUUUUAUAAUUUUAAUUUAAUUUGUUUAUUAAAUGAAUCAAAUAUUCAUUCACAAUUCAUUUAAUUCAUUUAUGCAGAAUUAUUAUUUUUGUCUUGUUGUUACAUCUUAUAAUUAUGAAUAAAAAUUUAAUGGUAAAUAAAUAAUUGAAUCAAACGGAUAAUAAAUGAAUAGAGUCAUAUUCGAUUGAUUUAUAAGCAGUUUAUUAAAAGAAUGAGUAAAUCAGUGAUCACAAACCCGAAUUCAAUUCGUUUAUUUAGCAAAUUGAAUCAAAUUCAUUUAUUUAUUAAACGAAUUAAUAUUUUAAAACUCAAAUCUAUUUAAUUGGACUCAAGUUGAAUCGAAUCGAAUAAAUAAAUCUUCGUCCAAAUUGCCACCCCUUAUUAAUAUGCCUACAAUACCAAAUGGACGGAAGAUGCCAUAAAAAUCUUUAUGGACUCUUAAAGCAUUUGCUAUCGACUGACAGUGUUAAACACAUAAGAAAUUCAAGAAAAUUAAUUAAACAUGGCUUCAUAUCAUUCAGCAGGAAAUACUGAUAAGCCAGACCCAGCUGGAGCUAAUGUACUGAUCACCCAUCAGCCAAUUGGUGAUGGGUACUAACAUGCUUUAAUUGCAAGCAGUGAUUGAGCGACUUCUGGCGUUUCAACUGGAACUUGGUUGGAUCUCGCUCGUGGCUUUGACCAAAAGCAAAGGGCUCGUGGACAUUAAACAAAAAGAAUUGUUUUUUCAGACCUUAACAGGCCAUUUGCUUCGUUGUGUUGUAGGCUCUGUUUCAAAGCCAGAGACAAAAUCAAUAAAUCAUGAGCAGUAAUAUAUACAUAUAUAUAUAUAUAUAUAUAUAUAUAUAUAUAUAUAUAUAUAUUGUCACGUAUAGAUAUCCGUGUUUUUAAAAAAAUGAAUUUAUUAUAGAAUAUAGUAAAUUCUUAUUUAAAAUAUGAAAACAUUCGCACUAUAUAUAUAUAUAUAUAUAUAUAUAUAGAGAGAGAGAGAGAGAGAGAGAGAGUCUCAUUUUCUAGCGAGAAUAUCUUCACUUUAUUAAAGUUAAGAUGUCACUAAAUAUAAAUUUUAAUACAUUAAAAACUUUAUUUUUUUUCUGUUACUAUAUUAAAAUUGAUAUUUUUUUUUAAUCUUUUUUUGACAUCCACACUUUAAUAAAGUGAGGAUGCCCUUGCAAUAUAUAUAUAAUCUUUUAACUUAAUUCCUGCAUUAAAAGCUAACUCUUGCAUAAUUACCCUAAAGAAUCAGCUUAACAGAAGUACCAAUUUGUGAUAGUGUACUAUGUGUCGUACGUUUAUGCUACUGGAGCCACAUUCAAUUGUGCUUGGUCCUCAAUUUUUUUCACGUUCAGUAUAAAAACUAAUUGAAGAGAAAUCUAGGCCUAGUUUUUUCUUUUUUGGUUAGAGGUAGGUAGGUUUUAGGAAAAGAGGUCCUCUUAAUAAUAUACAAUGCUGUAUGAGAUACAACGGAAGUUCAGUCUUUGUUUUUAAUAAAUUAUAAUUUUGAGUAUGUUUUAAAAUAUAUUUUUAUGUUGAGAGGGUUUUUGAUAGUCUCCUAAAUUAAAUGAAGUUUUUAAUAUUUAGUUAAAAGAUGAGGUAGCCACGUGAUAAUUACCUUGAUAUCUGCCAGUUAUGCGGCUAUACCAUUUGUUUCGGUGACCAUUUUAUGCCUAAAAUCAUCACCCAGCCGUUAUAUUAUUUUUUUAUUUUGACAUUAUAAAUCUAUAAAUAUUUUGUAAUAUAAAAAUGAGUGAAACCUCUUUGAUUUUUUUUUCGUUUUGGGAGUUUAUGUCUCUUUGAUCAAUUCUAUGAUGGUCCAGUACAGUCUACACAUAUAGACCAAUAACAUAUCAAUUUUUUUUCUCUAAGCAUUUAGAAGAAAUCAACUCCAAAAUGCACCAUAGAGGAAUUCAAAUUGUAUCCAUCAAUAUCGAUAUGAGAAUUAAAAUAGUUUAUCAUUCUAAAGCUCGGAUAGUUUUCAAACAAUAUAUUAUUUGAUAGUGCCAAGUAUCGUAAUUGUCCAUAAAAUAUUGUUGUUUUUAAUAUUAUUUGUACUAAUGACUCAUAAUUAAUAAUACGAUUUAAUUCUUGAUAUGGACAACUCUAAGGUAACAAUAUCUAAUUAAAAAUAUUUCAUACAAAUUUCUAUCAAGUUAAUCAAAUUUCUUUGAGUUGUUAUCGGAACUUAUACAUGAUUACAUGUAACUUUAAUACUUGAUGAUAUUGUUUUAUUACUAGUAUUAUGAUUGAUGAUACUAUAACUCUUAACAUCUAUUAUUAACUCUAUUAUUAACAUUGUUAAUAAGUAUAUUUGUUAGCGAGUACUAUUAUUAUUAUUUGUAAACAGAACACAUAUAUGAUAAUUUUAUCAGGCCUCCGAACUCGAACUCAAACUCAAACUCAAACUCAAAUUUUAUUUUAAUUUAACCAAAAAAAAAAAAACAACACCCUAGGUCUAAACUCACGACCUCUCUCAAAGCAGUAGACUCUACCCAUCGUCACCUUCAAGUUCCCAACGGAGCUUCCUUUCCUGGCCGCGUCCAAAAGACCAAGCUUUUCCAUCAACACCAAAACACCAAGUUUUACAAACUUUACCGUCAGUCUGUGUGCACUCCACUGAAAUUGUAUGGCACAUUGGCCACUGGGCAGAAGAAAACAUGUUAAGGAAAAAAAAAAUCUCGUAAGAACCAAGUAGCUAUAAGAUGCAAGAAAGCAUCAAAUGCAGCAUAUUAUUUAUUAGCAUACCUUUCAAUAUUCCUUUUAUUCACCUCUUGGUUAUUGGCACCGACAACACCUGGAUAUUCAAUAACACGAAGCACCGAAAACGCUUCUCCAACUCUUUCACCUUCAAAUUCAAAUGGUGAUUUGUUAGGACAAGAAAUCCUUUGGUGAAAACCAUCACCUAUAUCCAAGAAUGUUCAUGUUGUAUCACAAAAAAUCAAUAACAAAAUUAUGCGGAAGCGUACCUGAAUCCAUCACACUGAAUUACUCUUUAGCGUUGUGUGGUUGGUGUUCCAGAUCUACAUGUUCUCCUAGAGAAUCCUUUAAGUUUUCUCAAAGCUAUCUUUCUGACGAUGGGAUUUCAGAAAGAAUAUAAAAAUACGUGUGACUUGAGAACCAUAACUACUUAGAUAGACAAUAUUUUUUCUGUUGUCUCUAUAUAUUAAGACCCACAUCCUAUUAGAUAUAUUAAAGCCCAUAACAUCGAAAACUUAAAUAGAUCACUUUUAAUUGGGUUUAACCUUAUAUGACAGUCUGUAACACAUAAUUAUUCACAUAUAGGCCCAAUAUUGGAUUAAGGAUCCAACAAUAUUGGAUUAAAAAUCCAACAAUCUCUCACUUGUGCUAUAUGUGUAGCCUUAUAAUUAUUCUUUGCAAAAAUAACCAUAUGAGCUCAACCUUACUGUCAUUACCUAAAUGUAUCUAUAACCAAUCUGGUCUAUCAAUCAUACUAACAUAGGAUCAAAGCGACCUUCGUUACAAUUAUCGUAAGUGAGCAUGUAGUCUUUUAUUCUCUGUAAGUAUCGUAAGACUCGUUUGGCUGCUUUCCAAUGGUCUAUUUAUGGAUUACUUAAAUAUCUGCCUAAUAUCCCAAUAACAUACGUAAUAUCUGGUCACGUACAAACCUGAACAUACAUAAGACUUCUUACUGCUAACGCAUAAGGUAUCUUUUGCAUUUCUUUUUUCUCAAAAUCAUUCUUAGGGCACUGAUUGAGACUAAAUUUUUCUCCUUUAGCAAUAGGGGUAUUACUUAGUUUGCAAUCUUGCAUGCCAUAUCUCUUGAGAGCUGCUUCGAUAUAACUCUUUUGUGAUAAUCCUAGAAUACCGAAGGAGCGAUCCCGAUGUAUUUGUAUGCCUAAUACAAAAGAGGCGUCACCAAGAUCUUUCAUCUCUUAGUGUCGUGCAAUAAACCUAUAUCGCUGCUGGUAAGUAAAAUGUCAUCGACAUAUAAAACCAGAAAAAUAUAUUUGCUCCCAUAGAACUUAUGGUAUAUGCAAUCAUCGACUAAAUUCAUCUCAAAACCGAAUGAGAUGAUCACUUGACGAAACUAGAAAUACCAUUGUCAAGAUGCUUGUUUGAGCCCAUAGAUAGAUUUCUUAAGUUUACAAACCAUAUUCUUUGAGUCUCUAAACACAAAGUUUUUUUGCUACAUCAUAUAGAUCGUCUCAUCGAUGUCGCCAUUGAAAAAUGUUGUCUUUACAUCCAUAUGAUGUAACUCAAGAUCGAAAUGCACCACUAAUGCUAUUAUAAUCCUGAAAGAAUCUUUCGAAGAAACCAGAGAGAAAGUUUCUUUAUAGUCAAUGCCUUCUUUCUACGUAAAACCCUUUGCGAUAAAACGUGCCUUGUAUCUUUCUACAUUACCUUUCGAAUCCCUCUUGAUCUUAAAUAUCCAUUUGUAACCAAUAGGUUUCGCACUUUCUGCCAAUAGGACAAGAUUUCAUACGUCAUUAUCUUUCAUAGACUUCAUCUCCUCAUUCAUGGUAUCAAUCCACUUUUGAGAGUUAAAAAUUUUCAUGGCCUGACAGAAAUUGAUUGGAUCAUCUUCCAUUACUCCAACGCCUGCCUCAUGUUCUUAGAGAAAUAUAAUAUAGUCAUCUGUCAAUACACUUCUCUUUUCUCUAGUGGAUCUUCUUACUAGCAUAUGUUCUUGAAGUGGUAGAGUUUGUUUUUUUAGAACAACUUCUUAUAUAGGUGGUUCUCGAACAUUGUCUUGAUCUAUUGUAUCUUAAACAAAGUCAAGAAUGAGACCAUGAUCAAUGCCAAUAAAACUUAUAAGAAUAUUAAUAUAUUCAUCUUCAAAGACAAGGUCUUUUGCUGUCUCUCCCCUUGCAAACUUGACAUCCUCAAAGAAUCAAGCAUUUCCAGACUCAAAAAUCGACUUCGUCAUAGGAUCAUAAAACUUGUACCCCCUGGAUCGUUCUGAGUAUUCAAUAAAAUAACAACGUACCAUCCUUGAGUCCAGUUUCUUCUCAUUAGGCCUAUAAGGCCUUGCCUCAACUGGACAUCUCCAAACAUGCAAGUGCUUUAGACUAGGCUGAUUGUCUGUCCAAAGCUCGUAAGGGGUUUUGGCAGUUGCUUUAAUUAGAACUCUAUUAAGGAUAUAUGUUGCAGUCUCAAGCGCUUCUCCCCAAAGUGAUUCUAGUAAGGUAGAAUGACAAAUCAUACUCCUCACCAUGUUCUUAAGCACCUUGUUUCUUCUUUCAGCAACACCAUUCAUAAUGGCGAACCCGGCAUAGUGUACUAUGAGAUGAUACCGUAUUCCUCUAGGAAUUUAGCAAAUGGUCUUGGACGUUAUUCACUUGAACCAUCAUAUCUGUCAUAAUAUUCGCUACCACGAUCAGAUCUGAUGCUUUUGAUUUUUUGUCGAGUUAGUUCUUAACUUCAGCCUUAAAAAUUUUGAACAUAUCCAAGAACUAUGCCUUUUCAUGGAGGAGAUAUAUAUAACCAUAUAUAAAAAAAUCGUCUAUGAACGUCAUAAAAUAUCGUUGACCAUUCCAAGUAGCCGUAGGAAAUGGCCCACGAAUGUCUAUAUAUAUGAGUUCUAAGACAUUCGAAAUCUUGUUAGCUUCAAAUAUCCUUAUCUUUCUUCAUUUUCUUGCCCUUAGAGAUAGAGGCUAGGUAAGUGCUUUUUGCCUUAUCUUUUUUCAGCAUAUCCUCUUCCUAAACACAAUGUGAUAUAAGCUCAUCCAGAGACCAAGUCUCUUUCUGACAAUUAUAGCUCACCUUAAAUUAGUUAAACUGUGUUGGUAAGGAUAUUAAAAAAAAAUGCACUAGUAAGUCCUCAUAGAGCUUAAGUUUAAGUACUCUUAACUUAGAUCAAGAUGAGAUAUCUCCAUAAUGUACUCCUUGAUAUUGUCUUUACUCGUAUACCUCAUUGAAAUUAGGUUUGUCAAGAGUGUACCAAUUUCAGCCUUUUUGUUCUUGACAAACAUUUGUUCAAUUUAUGCAAGAAACUCUUUAGCAGUAGUUACUUUUUCAAUCAUUAAGCCCCUGAGUGCUUCUAGAAUGGUCUUCUUCAUAAUCAUGAUACACAUGCGAUUUGAUCUCUCUCACAUUUCCAUUUCCCUUUUAUCAGCAGGGGUACUCUCACCCGUAAGAGGUGGGGAGAAUCAACCCUUAACGCAAGGUCAAGAUCCAUGACUACAAGAACUAUUGAGAGGUUCUUGUGUCAUGAUUUGAAGUUAGAGCCAUUUAACAUAGCAAUGUAAUUGAUGAUGGCAGUAAUAUUAGUAGCAGACAUAAUUGAACAAAAAACAACAAACAAACAAAACAAGCUUAUAUUAGUCUUAAAACAAAAAUAAAUUCAAAUAAAGAUAAUCUCAAUCUUAAGAUAUUGGACACUCCAUUAAUAUUCAACUUGUAAGUGAUAUCUUGGUGUAGUAAUCAAACACUGAUAAUAAGAACAUGUCAAAAUAAUUAAUAUUCCUUUGGGCCGAUUUAUUGCUCAUAUGCAAAACUGAAUAAUCACACGUGUUUAUUACUAUAGGUGCACAUGUAAUUCUAUUAAAUAUGGACAUUCCUUAGAGCUGAUCGAUAUUUACAGAAAUUACAUAUACAAAAACGUUUAUAUUCCAAAAUAAAUUAAUUUUUAUAAGAGAUGUCACUUUGGCGACAUGUUGCUUCAAUUAAUUUAUCUCAAAAUAUAUAUAAACCUACCAAUAUUUGAAUUUAAAAUUGCACAAAAAUUACCCCAAAAAUUAAAAAAAUUCAGGUCAAAGUCAAAGUUUGACCAGUCGAUUAUCAAAUGUUGAUCGGUUUAUACCGCUGAUCGCUUUGAAUUGGACUCGUUCAAGUUAGACCGAACCGGACCAAACUAGUCCUAAAUCAGAAACCCUAAUUCGUUUUCCCUUCUUCUUCUUUGGCCACCGUCCCACUUUAACCUGCAGGCUGCGACUUAGUUGUCGCGACCUCUCUUUCCCGUCGCUAAGGGUGUUUGCGGAUUAGACAUCAAUCCAUAUCCGAUUCACGAUUUUACGGAUUAUAAAUUUUUAAUCCAAUCCAAUCUAUGGAUUAAUGAAAUUCAAUCCAAAUCAAUCCAUACGUCUGCGGAUCGGAUGCGGAUUUGACCCAAUCUAUAUCCAAUUCACUAUUUUGCGGAUUGGUUUACGGGCUAAAAAAUUUUACUCAUGUCCUAUCCACGAACUAACUAAAUAAAAAAAAUUAAUAUAAAAGUAAUUUUACUACCGAUCAUAUUCAAAAUUAAAUAAGAUUUAAAUUAAUUAAUUUUUUAAAUAAAGGUAGAAAAUACAUUCAAAGUUUUAAAAUAUAACACACCAAAAAGAAAAAAUUCUCAUUUGUUUAGAUCAGUACAUGAAAAUUAACUGCUAAGGAAGAUAUAUUUUUUUAUUUAAUUAUUUUUAUUUUAUAUUAUUAUUAGAUAAGACAUAAUAUGGUGUUAAUGUAACUAUCUUUUAACUUAUUUAUUUAGUAGUAAGAAUAAUGUUAUAUUUACAAGUUUAUAAUAUUUUUUAUUUUUUUGCGGAUUCGUGAAUUUUUGCGGAUUCACAGUAGUAAAUCCAUAUCCAAUCCACUGACAGCGGAUUUUCAAAUUUUAAUUCCAAUUCAAUCUACCAAUCCACGGAUCGAAAUUUUACGGAUUAGAUUUCUGCGGAUCAGACGGAUUGAGCGGAUCAAAUUGGAUUCUGAACUCCCCUACCCGUCGCAGCCUGAAGCCGCAGCGCAGCCGCCGGCUAAAACCUUGAAACAUUUUUUUUUUCCUUCAAUUCCCUUUCCCUUUAUACCGUGACUAGGGGUGGGCAAACGGUUCGGUUCUAUGAGCAAAAACAGAAUGGUUUUAAAAUCAAAGAACCGAUUGGUUAAACCGAACUGAACCAAAAAACCAAUCGGUUCCUUGAUUUAAUUAUAAAUAAUUUUUUUAAUUGAAAAAUAAAUGAAAAUAUAUAAACCAAAAACGAAAAAAUAAAUCACUCAAAAAUCAAAAUCUCAAAUCCCUAGUUGCGUUUCCCCAAUUUGCAACCCACGACCUCCCUCUCCUUUCCCACUCAUCUCCCACGCCUCCCUCCGUCGCCUCUCUGCUGUGCGUUUCUCCAUCUCUAGAUGGCGCAUAACUUCAGCUCAGCCCCUCUCGGUUUCUUCCUCGUAAGCGUCUCUCCCUCGCGUUAGCUCAGCCCCUCUCUUCCUUGUGUGCACAGCACCUAGCACAGCCCCUAUCUUCCUCGUGUGCACGGCUUCCUAGCACAACCCCUAUCUUCCUCGCGUGCACGGCUUCCUAGCACAACCCCUUAGUAGCGACACAACUCUUCCCCUCAAGCACGGUGACAGCCCCUCACACGUGGUGUUGCAGCCUAGCACAGCCCCUCACAUGCCGUGUUGCAGCCUAGCACAACCCCUCUCUUUGGUGCUGCAGCCUACAAGUGUUAUUUUAUUUUAAUUUAUGCCAUGGCCCGUACAUAGUGUGUAUAAUGUAUAUUGUUUAGUUUCUACUUGUGUUAGGGAUUGACUAUUUGUGGAUUGUUUAUGUAUACUUGUUGGUGGAGUUAAAAAUGGUGGGCAGAUAUAGUGGUUGUGGAGGCUUGUGAGUUGUGGCAGUGAACUAAAAUGGUUGUAACUUGUAAUGUUGUAUUGUAUAUUGCAGUCGGGAAUUGAACAAUUGAAAAUAGAUAAAUGUAUAAUGCUUCUAUCAAUGAAAAAAUUAGAAAUAAUAUUUGUUUUUUAACUUAUUUGGCAUAAUGAUUAAUGACUUAAUUAGCUUCAUGAGGUUGCAAUUUGAUAUUGGCAAUUUGGCAUGGAGAAUUCAAAUUAAAUUAAUAAGUAGUGGAAGUAUAUUAUGAUAUGUUGGCCUAAUUUGUUAAAUUAAAUUAUGAUUUGUUAGCUAGUAGUUAAUUGAACUUUAAUUGAUCUUUUUGGCGUGGAUGUUUUAAAUUAAAUUAACAAUUAUUGGGAGUAAAUUAUGAUAUGUUGGCUUAAUUUGUUAAAUUAAAUUAUGAUUGGCUAGUAGUUAAUUUAAAUUGAAUUGAUCUUUUUGGCAUGGAUGUUUUAAAUUAAAUCAACAAUUAUUGGAAGUAAAUUAUGAUAUGUUGGCUUAAUUUGUUAAAUUAAAUUAUGAUUUGUGGGCUAGUAGUUAAUUUAAAUUGAAUUGAUCUUUUUGGCAUGGAUGUUUUAAUCAAAUUAACAAUUAUUGGAAGUAAAUUAUGAUAUGUUGCCAUGUUGGCUUAAUUUGUUAAAUUAAAUUAAAUUAAAUUAUGAUAUGUUGGCCUAACUUAUUAAAUUAAAUUAUGAUAUGUUGGCUAGUAGUUAAAUUAAAUUUAAUUGAUCUUUUUUCAUUUCAAUAACUUGUUAAUAAAACAAUAUUACUUAUUUAUUUUUAUUUUAUUUAUUGUAGAUAUCUAAUUAUUCAAGAGUUCAAGAUAACCUCGAUUGUGUACCCGAUGAUCUUGAGUGUGAAGUUGAAGUUGAUGAUAGCGAAAAUGAUUUGCCAACAAUUGUCACUAGCGGAAACAAGAGGAAAAAGUCUUUGUCAUCCAAACCCCCACUACCAAGGAAAAAAAUGGCUCCAAGAUCAACAGUGUGGCAACAUUUCACUAGACUUACAGAUAAUGAUAAGAAGUGCAAAUGUAACUACUGCGAUAAUGAAUUUGAAUGUGGCUCAGUAGGGUACGAAACUGCUUUGAGGACUCAUUACCAAGAAACAUGUCAAAAGUACCAACGACCUUCAGAAAGACUAAACAACUUUAACUCAAAAUGUCGGUAGUGAUGAAAUUGUAGCAAGAGAUUUUAGCCAGGAUGCUUACAGACGAGCAACUGUGAAGAUGAUGUUCUUGAUUAAUUGCCUUUUUGUGUUGUGGAGAAUCCAGGUUUUAAGCAUUUUUGUUGUGUGGCGGCUCCUAGAUAUCUUCUUCCAUUAUGAAGAACCAUUACUAGGGAUACUCUUGAUAUGUAUGUUGAGGAAAAGGCUAAGUUGAAGAACUUAUUGGUUGGGAAUAAGCAGAGAGUAUCUUUGACCACUAAUAUUUAGACUUCCAUUACGACAGUUAGCUACAUGGUCAUCAUAGCUCACUUUAUUAACAAGGAUUUGAAUUUACAUAGAAAGAUUAUCAGCUUCAACACGGAUAAUGAUCAUUCAUCGGAGACAAUUGGUAAGCAAAUUGAAAAAUGUUUGAUUGACUGGGGCAUAGAGCGAGUAUUUACUAUAACGGUUGACAAUGCAAGUCCAAAUAAGGGUGCUCUUAGGUACUUAUAGCUUACUUAAUUCGUUGGUGUGGUAGGAUAAACUGGAGAUGGAAGCUAAGAAAUGAAAGAUGCUCGGAAAAAAUGAUAUUCUCACACAAUCUUUAGGAAAAGCUCCAAAAUGUGAUCAUAUGCAAGGAGUGGGCAAGUUUGUAACCACGUCUCUGUAUUUCCAAACUUGCCAGAGGCCUGCUGAUAGAAAUAGGCAAAGAGAGGACCGUUUAUGGAGGGAAUCAAUUAACCGGCAGUUGGAAGAAAUGAGAAAUGAACUGAGAAAAACACCUCGUCAUUCAGAUAUAGCAAGUUCUAGCUACCCUCGCAUGCCUGUUGAAAACAAAAUGCUGUCGGGGAUGAUGGCAUAGAGUUCGUUCAAGCUGAAGCAGUUGCUGAAACACCAAAGGUCAGUUUGUUUACUAUUUUUACUUAUUAUUUCUGGAUUUAUUUUGUUGCAAUUUUACUUCUUCUACUUAACUGUAUAUACUUGUUGCUGGAUAAGGGUUGUUGUAGUUACUGUUCUUACUUGUUGUUUGUGGAUUUAGUUUGUUGUAUGUUUACUAUUUAUACAUAUGUUUUUUCUGGAUUUUCUUUGAUACUGUUGACUACUUUGGAAGAUAAAUUUAGAGUAUUUAGAAAUUAUUUAUGCUAAUCACACUAAACAAUUAUGUUUGUAGCAGCUUGAUCAUUUGAAGAAAAAAAAAGAAGUAAGGGACACCUAAAAACACAGUAGAUAUGAACCUGCCAAUAGUAAACUGGAAGAAAGAGACAGGCAUAGCAAACAAAAACAAGGAUACACCUGCCAAAAAACUCUCUGUCAUUGCAAGAAAGAGUCCAAGAUUGAACCCAACUAAAAUCUCAGUGGAGAUGCCUGAUGAUUUGUUACAAGAAAAAAAAAAAAAACAGCAACCCUAAAUAUCAAGGCACAAAAAACAUUUGAACUUUGAGUCAGCAGAACAACAUAAUGAUAUAAUAGAGAUAGGACAUACAAAUGCUGUAAAACAGACCAAGGACGAGGGCAAAAAAGUUACAGUGAAGCCUUUGCCAGCAAUGAAGAACACAAGGCAUGCAGGAGGGGUACAACGAAACAAGAUUCUGUUGCUGCAGUUGUUUGGCACAAUGUGUGAAGCUAAGAUGUCAGACCAAGAUUGGAUUCCAUAUCUACUGGAUUAUGGUGUUUUCCAAUUGGAAGGGAUUAGAGCUCAUAUUGAGGGCGUGACUGCAGUGCAGUUUUGUCAAUGGAUGCUAUAAGAGUAAAUGUAAUCAAAGUCUAUAUUGCGUAAGUGAUUUAUAAUCAUUCUAGUUUUAUGUGUACUUUUUAUAGGAGUCCCAAUUAAUGGACUUUAAUAUUGUUUGUCUUUUGUUUAUCAGGAUGCUGUAUGCUUCCAUUCUCCCUGGGAAAAGAAGUUUAUCAUUGGGUGCUGGUCAUCUUUGAUGUGUUGAAAAAAGAAGUUUAUUAUCUCGAUUCUUAUGGGGGAGAUCUUGAUGAUGAUUUAAAAGAGCUCAUUAAAGUGUAUGUUCAAUUUUUUUUAUUACCAUUGUCAAUAUAAAAUUAUUUUUACAUAGUUUACAGAUACUUUGUUACAAUUUUUUUUUUUUUUGUAUACAACUCUAUGACAAUGUUUAUAGCACAAGAGGGUUAGGAGAAAUGGAAUUAUAAUAAGAUGGUCAGAUCUGUAAAGGUAUGAACUAUUACCUUAACUAUAAUUAUAUAUUACCAUGCUUAAUUGUUAUUAUAAUGAACUGUGCAACUGCUUAUUGUGAACAGGUCCCACAGCAACCAGCAAGUUCAGUCGUGUGUGGAUUUUACGUCAUGAGAUUCAUGAAAUACUUAAUUAAUGACUUCUCUUUACUAAUGAACAAUGUGAGUUCCUUGAUCAUAAUUUGCUUCAUAAAAAAGAACAUGUCAUGUGUCAAAGUUUCACUACAUAAUAUUUAUUUUUCAUAAACAGUUCAACGGAAAGACAACAUAUUCCGAUGCUGAAUUAGAUGAAGUCUAUAUUUAGUGGGCAAACCAUUUUUCUGGAGUACUUGUUGUUAUGUGAGGUAACCCUUACCUAUUAUGUUGUUAUUGUGAGUUCAUUGAUGAAAUAAAUUAAUUUACUAGCUAUAUUUUACUUGGGCAGUUAUCUAGCUUAUUAUACUUCUAUGUUGCAUUAUGAUGAAGAUGGUGGGUACUGCUGGAGUUGGCUAGUUUUUUUCUUUGUUUGGAAAAUAGCUCCUGGAUAUUGAUGCAAUUUUACACAUUUUGGUUGUUCUUAUGUUGGAUUUUCACGUUUGGGAACUGCUGGCCUUGUCUAAUCAGUAUUUUUUGCUUCCUCUUGUGUUGCUGGAAAUGAACUAUGUUGUUGCCUUUCUUCAUGUUGGUAGAAAUGACUCUGUUGUUGGCUUCCUUAUGCUAUUGGAAUUGAACUGAUCAUGGUUCAUUGGUGUUGUGCAUGUCGCUGGAAUUUAGUUUUUAUGUUGUUACAAUACUCUUCUUCUAUUUAUGUUGGACUUGUCACUCUCGAAUUUGAUUAAAUUAUGUUUGCUGACAAUUAUGAAUAAUUAGUCAAUGUUAUCCAUUUCAUUUUCUUUGUCAGUGAAUUUUUAAUUGCAAUAUUAAUUUUAAUAAUCUAAUUAAUUAGCUAAUUUAUGAAAUAUUAAUUUCUAAUAAAUCAAUUGCAGGAUUGUUAUUGGGGAAAUUAUCCACCGUCCACCCGUUUUUUCACCGUUUUUCAAAAAUACACAAUUCUUUUUUUUUUGUUUGCUGGAAUCCACAUGAAAUUACAUUUCUUUUCACUUUUCCACUUCCGUUUGGAGACCGUUAUAACUUUACUAACAUCAUAAGGGUAAAAUCAUCAUGUUACAACGACACAGUGGUGGAUAUGUGUAAAACAAUACAACUUCGAGUGGAGGUCAGCAAAACAAAAUUAAGAAUUGUGUAUUUUUGAAAAAAAAUACGAAAAAAACAAGUGGUCGAUGGAUAAAUUAUCUUUUACAUUUGAGGGUAAAAAGUCAUUUAAGAAAUAUUCUGUUAAUUUCCUUAACGGAUUCCAAACGGAAGUGGAAAAGUGAAAAGCAAUGUAACUUUAGGUGGAUUCCAGCAAAAAAAAAAAAAAAAGAAUUUCCUUUUUUGAAAAAGUUAGAAAAAACGGAUGGACGGUGGAUAAUUUCUCUUAUUAUUAAAAUAAUAAUAAUUUCAUGGUGCAAACAAAAUACCCAUUUUUUAUUAAUUAUAAUUUCAAUUUUUGAUUUAAUUGAAAAAAUUCAUUUAAUUAUAAUUUGCAUUUCGCGCCAAAUUUAAUUUUCCCGCCAAAAAUUCAAAAUAUGGCGCGCAAAUUUUAAAAAAGAGCCAAAUUCAAAUUUAUUAUAUUCCCCUCUAAAUAAAGUUAUGACAGUUAUGUGACUGGUAAUAUCUAUCACAGAUUAUGACUGGUAUUGUUCUGUCAUCAAUUCUUGACACUGGCAACAAUGACGGUAUGAACAACCGUCAUCCACCCCCUACUAUAAUAGUUUUUGCCGGUCAUAGUAGGCACUUUUUCUUGUAGUGUGGGGAUUAGGGUGUGAGUGGUAUGAGAAGUACAAAACUAAGGCCACCUCAUUAAGGAUUUGAGGAUUAUGUUUCCUGACCUAUUCCCCAUAAACUUAUCAAAAUUUAUUUCAUUUAGAAUGUGCCCUUUGGAGUCCCAAACCUAUAGAGAAUUUUUCCUCCCCUAGCAAGCUUAGUAUGAUGCUUACAUUACUCAAGAUUAACCUUUGAUUAUUCAUCACUAUGUCUAUUAUUACAUACAACCUCAUAUCUAUUAUGAGUGUAUACUAGAAACAUAAAAUGACAUAUUGACUCUUAUACGUACCUCACUGUAGUUGCUUAACGUCUAGUAACAGUAGCAAAAUGUACAUCAAUACAUCAGCUUCCACUGUUAUGAGUGUACAUUGUUUUUGCGAAACAAAAAAUAUUGGCUGCUCGGUGUGUAGAAUUCUUGCCAUUGGUGUAUAGAUUUCUUGUAAAAUAUUGGUUUGUGCUCAAUGUAUAUUUAUUUCUCAUUAGGCGGUUGGUGGAAAAAUUAUCAAAUCUCUUACUGAUAAAAUAAAUUUUUUACGUCUUUUAUUAUUUUACCCCUAAAAAUUUUAUUGAUCAAAAGUUGGUGGGUUUUUAAUGAUAUCAGGAAUAAUAUAAUAAAAGACACAAAAUUUUGAAAUUUAACAAUGUCUUUUUAACAUCUUAUGAUCUACAUUGUUUUAAAAAAGUAGGGGAAAUAAUUAUUUUUCUCAAACAAUAGGGAGAUUUUGAUCAUUUCUCUCAUUGCUAGUUGAGAUGCAAAUGGAGAGGACUAAAGAGUGUGUGUAUACAUGCUGCGAGCGCCUUUUUUUUUUUUAACACGGAAAAAAUGUUAAGCUGUGGAGUUUAAUAACAUUAAAAACUGACUCUAUUAAACCUCAUAUCUUAAAAGCCUAUCCGCAUAAAAAAAUAAUAAUAGGGUGUCUGCACUAGAAAAUGACUAUAUAUAUAUAUAUAUAUAUAUAUUCAAAUAUAGUUGUUAAAUUUUAAUUUUGUCAAGCAAACACAAUGUUUUUUUAAAAUUCUUUUCUUUCUCAGUAUAUAACAAGUUAUAUCACUACAAUAAAUAUUAUCUUUUACAACCAAUCAAAAAUGCUGCGAAAACACAAUUACAACAUUUAUAAAAAUAUCCUAACGAAGGAUGCAGUAAAUAACAUCAAACUUUUGUAGCCUUUUUCAACUGCAGUAAGAAACGCUGCAUAAAAUAAUAAUAACGGCAUUAUUAAAAUGCAGUUUUCUAGGCCAUUUGCUAUAAGAGUAAAUUGCUGCAAAAAUUAGUAAAUAAAUAUGGAAAUCUGCUGCCAGUAAAAUUGAUAACAGUUCAAUCAAUUGAAAAUAAUCUCCAUAAAAUCAUUUGAACUUGGCAGCCAUACAACAAAAAUUUAGUUGAAGAUUGUUAAAUCUCUACACUAAAUAUAAUACUCAAAGUGUAAACUGAAACUCUUGCCCAAGUUAAUGUUUUUUUUCCCUUGACUUGUAAGAUUCAAGUAUAUGUAUGAACAAAAUUAGAAACUAUAAGCCUACUCCAACAAGAUGUAGUUUUUUGGCCAAGCAAUUGUACUUCCAAUUGCAUCACUAAGAACAUGAAACUCAGAUGUAGCACAAUAUAAGGGAGUAUCUUCAACCAGUUCAAUUGUCACCCAAACUUUCCAGCAAUCUGGUCCAAGACAUAUAUGAUGUACUUUAGCAAGUGGAUCUCGUGAUGCAAUUGUUCCUUCCCUUACAACUUUUCCUGUUCCCAUCCAAUCUAUUAAUCUACAACAAGCAUUUUCAAUAUUUGUGAAAGUGCUUCCACAUGUUUUAGCUUUCUAUAAUAACAAAUAAAAAAUCUGAUUAGAGGCAAACAAUUAUAAUACGAAUAAAUUCAAAUGGUUUUUCCAAGCUCAAAAUUCUAAUCAUUUUUUUCAUAAAGAGAAUGGUUCUUUAUCAGCAACAACUCAAAAAUCUAUUCAUUUUAGUGUUAAACAGAGUUUUGAGGAUCAACAAUAAAUGAUGCAUAGCAUUUAUAAAAAUCAUAAAAAUCAUCACUUAGUUUCGCAUGUGAAAUGUCUUCCGAACAUUUCCUCUUGUGGCUUGUCUCAUUGUGAUCCUGAUAAUAUCAUAAAGAAAGAACAAUUCACGUAAGCAAAAUACUUUGUUUACGUAUUAUAUAAUUCAAAGCUAAUAGUAAAAUAUUAACUUACUAGUCGAAUGUCUCGAGAAUUUUUCAUCAUGCUAUCUAUGUCAAUUCGAUCCUAAAAAUAUAUGAAAAAACUAUUAUUAAUCAAGUAUUGCUUCUAACUAUAUUGAACAUAAAUUUUCUUAAUCAUAUUUAUUACCGCUUGUUUGCUAGUGUUCUUAAUGAAUGCAGCCUUGAGUUCCUCGAAUAGUUUUUUGAGAUCUUUUAGUUCCAUUUUAAUUUGUACAGUAUGAGACUUGCUAAGUGCUUCUAAAUUCAUCAAUGUUGGUGUAACUCCAGAUCCAAUUCCUCGUACACGCCUAUUACGUUCUUUUCCUAGCACAUGGGUCAGAGCAUCACCGUGAAUUGUUGAGGCAUCUUCACUCACUUGUGUCCUCUGAUAUUCAUUAAUUUUUUCUGAAUCCAUGGAGAAUUUUGAUUGUUAAUAGCAAAAAAAAAGAAUAAAGAACUAAAAAAUCAUAAAUGAAUUUAUCACCAGUUUUUCAGCAACAUCCUCAUUAAUUGCAGCCUGUCCUUCUUAGUAUGUGCACGAAUCCACACAUCAACUCUAGUUAUCGGUGAGUUUGGUCUCUCUUGCAUCUAAAAUAUGUAGUGGAGAACAUUUGAUUACUCAUCUAAUUUUUUGUUUAAUAAUAAAUAAACUUAAUGAUAUGAUUUUUCUAACAAUUUCAUGUCUUAAAUGAGCCAUCCCUUUUUCGACUUGUCCUAUGGAUAUUAGUUUGUUUUGAUCUCAUUUUUUUAAACCUCUUACUCUUCAACUAUAGUUAGAAGAUAUGUUAGAUUAAUGACAUUAUUCUUGUACAUUAAUAAGAAACUAUACUUGUACAUUAAUUGGGAAAGAAAGUUACUUUAAACAUUUGCCAUUGUUGCUCAGAUUUUAUGUUCCUUGGUUUCAAGCCUUUCAAUGCCUCAAGCUUUCUUGUUACAUCAUUGCUUUUAACCAAUGCUCUGAUUUUAUGUGUUAAAACUGAUUUGUAAUUCCUCCAGCUCCUACCCAUUGCACUCAUUAUAUAUCUUCUAUGACUUCCAUCAACAUUAAAUUAUUGCUGCAUUUAAAGGGAAAAAUAACAUUAAUAAUUAAAUUUGAUAAGUUAAAUAAUAUUUACCACAAAAGUAGGAUGCUACCUUAACACAAGUCCAAAGUCUUUCUCUUAAGUCUGAUUCCACUCUAUGCCAACUAUCCAAGGUCAAUGGUACCAUUUGUCAUACUAUACAACAAAUAAAAGAAGAUAGCCUAUUUGAAUUUCUACCAACGAGGUUAUUAUUGGUGCUUCGAAUCGAGAUAAGUGGAUUCAUGCAUAACGUUUAUUAUAUAUAUGUACGAAUUUAUGUAUGAAAAAAAUAAUGUUGUUCAUAAGGAUCGGCAUAUUUAUAGUUUUGAAGUAUUUUGUUGUUAUAGUUUAUAAUAAUGAUUUACAUUUUGGUUUAAAGUUUAUUUAAAAUGUUUUCUUAAAUUGUUUUUAAAAAAAUGGCUUUAAAUUACUUGUGUUCCAUAAAUUGUUUUUCCUUAAAAAUUAUAUAAUUUGUAAAGCUUUGCCAAUUAAAUGUCUUAUAAGAGAUUUAAUUGAAUGAUUGAUAUUGAAAGAUUGAAAAUUAUUUUAAGGUUUUGGCUCAUUGUCCUUAGUUACCAGUACUAAUAUGACUUAACAGUUAAUUGUAUUGUGCGCUCCUAUUGACGAUUAUUGCGGGGUAAAGUACCCUGAUUGAACUACCAACCGCCUCACUGGAAGUACAUGUGACACUAUGAGGCAUGAGCAAAAUUAAACAAAUGAAAGGUUUUAUUGACAAAUGAUUAUUUAUUGAAAAUGGUCAUUAUGCUAUGACAUUAUUGGUUAUAAAUUUUACUAUACAUAUGUAUUAGAUUAUAAAAUGAUUACUGAUUCAUGGCACUUAAUAAUAAUUAUUAUGUACUCCAUCCUUAUUAGUAACCUUAUGUAUGAGUUUACUUAUCAAGUUGACGACUCAUCCCUCGUCUCCAACAUUUUGCAGAGUGAUGUUAGAGAUGGUUUUUAAAGAAGAAGAUUUGUUAGCCGAAAGCUUUGGGCAUUUUCGUGAUGGAUAAAUUGUUGCUAUUUUGGUUAUUAUUUUAGAGUUGAAUUUGGUAUUGGAGGAUUAUUGUUAUAUUUAUUGUUUUAGAGACUAUGUUUCGACCUUGGACGCUAUUGAUUUUCUUUUGGGAAUAGUAAUAAGAAUUAAUUGUUUAGAGAUUGCAUUCUAAAUUUCUUUUAGAAUUCUUGGGAAAUUUUGGGGUGUUACAAAACUAUUGUUCAAGAUUGUUCCAAAGCUCACGAGAAAUUUUAAAGUUUACCAUAAGACUGAGAAUUUCCAAACUGAUAGAGGACAACAGCCAGCUCAGUAGCACUUGAUUCUUUCUCUUCUAGGUAGUGAAUGCCAGAUUUUCUUGUGUAACUUCAGCAGUGGAGUUGUUAGUUUCAUCAAGAAGAAACUGAUCUAGAUAGUGUUUAGAACUAUCAAGAAGAUCUUAAAGUCCAUUAGCACGAACUGAAGUGAGAGUUUGAGAUUUCCAGAUCAUGUAGUUUGAUAUAUCGAGCUUAACAAGUAAGGUAAAGGUAAAUGAGGAAAUAGAGGACACUGUGUUUAGAUUGGAGCUUGAAGUAGCCAUAAGAGCUUAUACAUCUAGCUUUGAUGCCAAGUUAAAGUUUGAGUUCUUCUCUGAUUAGUGAAAUGAGGGAAAAUUUAAAGAGUUGUGAAUUGAUUCAAUUAUCCUAACACUGCUUCAUUAAAAUCCACUUUUCCAACCACAGAUGCAACCAAUGAGAUACAUAACCAGUGAGCUAGAUGCAUAGAUUUGUAUGUUUUGGUGCAAUUCUUUGUUCUAAUGUAUAAAAAAUCGCCAUCACAUUUCAAUUGUUUUCUAUGAAGCUAAUGAAAUUUUUGUCUGUCAAAGUAACCAUGUCGUUUUCUUUAAUAAGUGGUGGCGGUGUGGUGGCAGCGCCUUGUGGUUGGCCAAGCAGUGAGUAUCUCCAAGGUUUAGAACGACCUUGACGUAAACUUGACUGGGGGAUGACAAAUUAUAAUAUUGUUGAGUAAGAGGUGUGAAGGUACUAAGGAUUUCGAUGAGAAGAAUAAAUUAAAGUAAGAGAAAUAGAAAUGAUUCUUCUCACUACAAGAAAAAUGGUAUUUUAUUACAAAAAAAUUCGUCAUUAAAGAUAACAAAUCAGUCAUCUUAUAUUUUUUAUGAUAAAAAAUAUAUCGUUACACGUUAGUCAUGGAAAGACUAUCUUUAAAACUUCUAGCGACCAGAAUUAUUUUCAUCAUAUUAAAGAUAUGAUUUUAUGACAAAAAUUAUUGUCUUAAAAUUAAGUUAAAAUUGUCACAAAUAGUAUUAAAAAUGAUCGAAUUAGAUAUUCAAAAAAGCAACUAAUGACACUUCAUAUUUGUCACAAUUGUUGAUUUAUAGUGACUAUAGUAUUUGUCUCAAGAGUAUGUAAAUAGAGUCUCAAUAAUUAUUAAAAAAAUGUCAUUUUAGAGGUUUGGAUAUACAAUUAGCAAUGCUAUUGUUAGAGUGCAAUUUACGCACUAGUUUUGCAUUGUUUACUUCCUUUAAUAUCGAUGUUUUGCACUUAAUAAUAGUGAUUUACUUGUGUUUUAUUUUUGUAGGUGCAAUUCUAUUGAUUGGUACUAAAAUUGAGCUACAAGAUGAUGUUUGAGGAUGAUUGUUUUCUUGGAGAAAUUACGAGCUUCAGAAGAACUUUGUUAAUAAGGCGUGGGCGCGUGCUGUCAACUACGGACGUGCAGUUUUUAGUUUAACGUGUUUUGUCUUUUUGGUUAUUUUUUGUAAUUACGAAUUUAAUAUUUAGAUAAUAUUUUAGAUAUUAGUAUUUUAUUUUGAAAAUAACUCUAGAAUUUAGGAGAGAGAAGAGAAUAUAAGGGAGGAAUCUAUUGUGAAAAGAUGAGAUUUUUAAAGAAAAAGAAAACCCUAGAUCUAAAUUUUUCUCCUCUCUAUGAAGAACUAAACCUAUUAUUCUGGUUGAAGGUUAAUAAAGCUUUGAUUUAUCAUUACUGUGAGAUCUUUCUUAUGCUUUAAUUGUUUUAUUAUUUUUUGGGUAUUUUUUUAUUCUCUAAAUUAUUGUCAUGAUUAUGUUUGUUAAUUAGAUAAUUGGCCACUAUUUAAUUAUCAACUUAAUCUAUUGUCAAUUAAAAGAUUCAGCGUAUAAAGAUUUUAAUGUUUGUGACAAAUAACAUAGCAGUGCGUUGUGUUAUGAGAAUAAACAAUCUAAUUUAAAUAAACCAUCGUAUGUGUUUGUUUAUUAGGAUUUGUGUCUCUCUGGUUUUUCAGGCUAUCAAUUGAUUAAAUCCUAUGAUCGUAUCUAGGGUUGUCUAUUGAUUAGGGAAAUAACCAAUGGUCAUACCUUGGUUAUCGACUAGUUAAUGAGAGAUUGGCUAUUAGAGGGUCUUAGUAGCUAUAACUGGUCUAUUCAUAAGUAGCAAUGAUUUAUAUUUGAAUCAAUGAUCAAUAGUCGAAUCAAGCUGAGUUAAUUCCUUCAACCAGAGCUUUUCCAAAUUUGAAUUUGCAGUCUUGUUAUUUUAGUUUGAUUUUUAUUAUUGUCAACAAUCCCCUCAUUUUGCAUUUUACAUUUUAAAAGGAUUUAAAUAAUUACCGAUCUCUGUGGACACGACCCUGCUCAAUCAGUAUACACAAUUUAUUUAGAGUAUGUAUUUAUUUUUGCUAGCUUCGACAACCAUCAGCUAUUUUUUUGUUGUUGAAGUUCACAUAUCGCGACGUUACAUAAUCGUCUCAAGUAGGUGUCAUUUGCGGCAAUAUACAAUUGGUAAUUAAUUUAGUCUCAAAUUUGUUAUAAAGGCGGUUUAUAUAGUCUCACAUAAAUUUUAAUAACAAUAUGUAGUUAUAGAAAUCAAAAUUUAAUGACAAAAGAACUUUAAAGUGAAAAAUAUUAUUAACAUAAAUAUAAUUCAUGACAAAGAAAUCUAAAAUCUAAAAUGAAAAAAAAAAAUUCAUGUCCAAAAAUAUGAUUACAUUGUAGAAGAAAAAUAAAAGUAACAUUACACAAAAGGAGAGAUAUGUAAACCAUAGUUGUUUCAUGAAUUCUUCAACUUCCUUAGAUUUGCUAUUUUCUUCCUUGAUUUUAAUUUUUGAUCCUCAUUUUGUUGAGUCAAUGUUGUGGUAGAUGAUGACUUUAAAGGUACCUGUCAUUUUAAAUCUUUACAAAAUUAAAGAUUUUCCCUAAAACUAUUUAGCAAAUUCAAUCAUAUAUUACUUCAAAAUAAUAAUAUAAUCAAAAGAUUACAAUCACAUAAUCAUCCUCGAUUCACUUGCACAAAUUUUACAUCCAAAACUCUUUAAAUUAAUCUAUCAAAUAGUUGGAGUCAAACUUGAACCAAAUUAAACUAUUAAGCAAUCAAUGAAUCAAUAUUUAUAAUAAAUAUAAAAUUGAAAGAAAUAAGAGAUUGAGUAAAUAAUAAUAAUAAUCACCAUCAUCAUCAUCCCCAUAAGAUAGCUUACACAUUUAGAUUUUGUAUGGAAACUACUUGAACCUUUUACGCUCACUUUAAUACAUCUUCUGAAACAAAGUAAUCUGGGAGAGACUCCAUACUUUUUUAUUACCCCAGUAUAAAAGAAGAUAAAUACAUUAAUUUUAAUUAAACAUACAACAACCACACUAGGGGAAAAAAACCAAGGCUUGUUGACCUUUAUUAGUUUAUUUAAUCACUUCAUAUAUGUUUCCUAGCAAAUUCAACAACAUUUUGAGCAAAUUGUACCAACCCAAGCUUCAACACCGCCCUUCGAACCAACAUAUCAAAGCUUCAUAAUAUUUUAUAGUUAAGAUUUUGUUCUAUAACUCUAACUUAUAAUUAUUGGUUGGACUUGAAUAACUUAUUAACUCUUUUCAUUUUAUUAAUACUAGCUAAAAUUUUCUUUAAAAAUUAAAGAAAGAUGAUUAAUUACAUACCAAGAUAAAGUGAACGAUAAUAGAAAUAUCCCAAUUUUCUAAAGUUCUUACGAAGAAAAUUUUUGGUUGUUUUGGUGUUUGGGGGGGGGGAAUCUAAUGUCAUCACACCUAAUUCCUAAAUCCACUGCCCAAAUUGAAAAGCAAAGUCAUCUUAAUAUCCUAAUUUUGCAAAAGUUUCUCAAAAACAACUAAACUUCGCUUCCAAUUUCCUUCAUUUAUUUUGUGUAUUUUAUGUUUUUCUUUUACUAGAUUAUAUUAGGAAUUUUAUCAAAAACUUGAUAAGCAUAAAAACAUUCAAAUAAUAGAUCCAAGAAUUUUAAUCUCUAAUUUCACCAAACACAUAAUCCAAUCACAACUAAACUAAUCAAAAUUAAAUUUGAUGAGUUCAUAAAUGAUACUUAAAAGUACUGGGAGAGAUGAGAGUGAAUUUUGUCGAGUGGCUUAUUUUGGCAUGCAUGAGUGGACUGGUGAGGGGUGGCGUCCUUCUGGGCGGCAGCAAAGGGCGUGGUUCUAAUGGCCCGCACGGUGGCUAAGGUAGAAUUAAGAUGUUGCCUCCCCGAAUUGAACGUAUCAAACAACAAACAAACAACAUAUUUUUUAAUUAAGGAAAAACAUAAAAGGGGAAACAAGACAAACCGAUGACAAAAAUCAAAUUUUUUACUCAAUAAACAACACCCAUAUAAGAAAAUUGAACCAAAAAUGAAAGGAAAAGUGAAAAAUUACCAUGAGUAGAAGACAAGACAAGAUAGGUAAAGACGACUAUUUGUUAAACUAAUCUUGAAAUAAUCAUUCACACACACCGGCAAUUGGAAGAGGGGGUGGGGGUUGGGAAGAUAACGUUGGGUAGUUUUGAACGUGAAGUGGCCACUUAAUGUGUCUCUGAAAAUUUAGGUUUUAUUUAAGUUUUAUUUUUUCUAAUAUAUAUCCAACUUAAAUAACUAUUAGAAGGUUCUUCUAAAAAUAAAAAAAGAAGCAAUUAUAAGAUUAUUAUCAAUGAUUUGAAAAAAAAAAAGUCAAUCAUCAUUUUUUAUUAAUCCAAGUUAAUUAUUUUUAGGCUAUUAUUUUAAUUUUUAUUAAUCUAGCAUUGUUAACCAAAAUUUGUAUGAAGUUAAACAGUAAUGUGUCUCUGAAAAAGAAAAAAUAUCAAUUAUUAUUCUCUUUUUUUUUGUUAGUGACGUAAUUUUCGUCAUAAAAAAAUUAAUCAGAUACUAAAUAAUUUGUCUCUGAAAAAAUGGUCAUGAAAUACAAUAUUACUCAAGACAAAAUUUUAGACUAUUAUUUUUUUAGUUUUGUUACGGUAAGUAAUUCUAUGACAAAAAAAAGGGUCUUAAAAUUAAUCAAAACCAUAUUAGUUUUGGAGACUAAUAUUUUUCUGUCACAAAUUAUUUGAUCAAUUUCACAUCUCUUCUUCAGUUACGAAAUAAUAAUGUCACCUAUAAUUAAAUUUUGCUACCGUAUUUUUUUGUCAUAAAAGAUGAUAUUUUGUCAGAAAAUGAUCAAUUUUGGAGGGAAUUUUUUAAGCAAAAAAAAAUGCAUGUCCUUUUGCGACUAAUUUUAUGUUUGUCGCAAAAUAUUUGAUUAGGUGACAAAUUACUGGGUCGUAAAAUAAAUAUUAUUGAUUACAAAAUAUAACAUAAGCCAAGAUGAGAUUAUUGGCUACGAUUUUAAAAAACAAUCGUCAUAAUAAAUACUAUUUUAUGACAAAAGCUGUAAAAGUCAUGGAAGAAGGCAUCUUAAAAAAUCAAAUUUCUUGUAGUGGCUAUUGACAGUUAGUUAUUGCUUUUUAUGAUAUUCAAAAAAGUGUUGAGAAAGAUUAUCAUGUUCUCUGGAGAUAAAAUCUAAGUAUUCGCCCUACUUCUUGCCUUUGAUAACAUGAAAUCUUGUAUGAAGUGAAUUGUUGCUUGAUAAAGUUAAGGAUACCAUCCGACAAUUAUAUGCUUACAAAAAAUAGUAUAAAAAAUAGCACACCAUCACUGAAAGAUAGAUAAAAUAACCAGAAAACAGUUUUUUUUUUUUUUUGUCUUUUGUACUUUUUGUACUAAAUUGUAUGAUAUUUUCAAUACAUGUAUCAUUAUUUUAUUAGGUUCAAACGUACGUUACGUUUAACGUAACGUACGUUUCACACACAGCAACAGUUUUUAUGGUGGGGUCCAUAACUGUUGCUGUGUGUGGCGUACGUUACGUUAAACGUAACAUAGCGCCAACCAUUUUAUUAUGUCUUGUUUACCGGUUUAGAGACCUAUGUGGCUUUUGUGUUUGAAUAUUAUGGUAUUUCUCAAAAGUCAAACCAGUCAAAUUGUACAAUUCUGAGAAAAAAAAAAUGAGUCUUCUAGGACCCCUUUUUUUUGUUUUGUUUUUCUUAACAAGAUAUAAAGUGAUCUUUAUUAUUUAUUUUUUUUGAAAUCAUGUGAUUUUUAGUUUGAUAUUAUGAUUUACUUUGUCUAAUUAACUGAGUUUAUUUAGAGAAGAAGACUUUUUUUUUUCUUUUUUUGCUUUUAGAAAAUAGAAAAAUAGAUUUGGUCUAUUAUACAAAUAGGAAGGCCUUACAUUGAUGUUUCUUUUUUAAAUACUAAUUAAUAUGUUGGUACAUGAGAUCUACUAAUAUUUAAAAUCACAAAUUUAUUGGGACUAACUUAGAUUAAUUCUCUAUUACAGUUUAGAUUCUAUUCCAACAUAAGGAUAUAUUUAUAAUAUAUCAUCUCUAUUUCGUUGUAUGGGUACAUAAGUGGGAUUUUUUUCUUUUGAAGUAGGCCCUUAGAACAUGUCAAACUCAAAUAAAAGGAAACUUGUGAUUACCUAAUUAUACAAAGAAGGAAUUUUAUACAAAGUUCAAAUCUUAUUUAAAAAGAAAAAAGAAAUUCAUCAAAUGUCAAAAUUAAUGAAAUUAGAAGAUUUCAAAUAUAAUAUAAAAUUGUAUUAAAUUAUUGAAUGCAGUGUAUUUUAUUAUGUAAUGUAUUGAAAUAGCUUGUUUAUCUCUUUAUUAAAGUAAGGAAUAACCUAAAAGAUAAGAAAUAUACUCUUUAACACACUAUAUAAUAAAAUAUACUGCAUUUGAAAUGUGUGUUUUUCUUAUCUUUUAUUUUAUCUUGUACUUUAAUAAUAAAAUAAAAAAACUCUUAUUAGAUAAUAAUUCUAUACAUACGGUCUUACAUACUACAGAUAGUAAAAGCUGCCACAAGUUUGACACGUAUAUGGUUAAAUUCUAUUGAUACACACAUACAAGAAAGAAACUUUAAGUUACGAUAAAAUGAAAAACUCCAAGAGCUUCUACUACAUGUUACCAUACGAUCGAUCGAGCUCCCUACUAAUUUCACAUGAUAUUCAAUAACAGACACAGCCAUUAAUUGAUUCCUGAUCAUCAUGACGUGCAGUUGGCCACAUCUUCACCAGUUUCCUCACAUACUAGUUCUACAGCUUUAACAGGCUCUCUCUGCCUGGAAAUUAAAUGAUCAAUAAUUGAUUGCUGUUCAUUUUCUUCCACUUUCCAUUUCUUUUGCUUCUGAACUCCACGGCUCUAGUACUUCCUGGAAAUGCACUUCACUAUGAACCGAAGGUUAUCUCACAAUCUUAUACAUCUCAGCCAGUGUCUCACAAUCCACUUUUGCAACCAGUGAAGCGCCUGUAACUUUCCAUGCUGAGGAGUGAAAAAUCACCUGCACACGUUGAUUGUUUUCAAUGAAGUUGGUGAAAUUUCUUUCUGUCAAAGCAACCACAUCCUUGUCAUUGAUGAGUUCUGGUGGCGGCAGCAUCGUGCGAUUGACAGAGCGGGGAGUGCUAAUAUAUCCGAUGGCUGGGUAAUACGUCGUCGUUUUGUUGCUUGGGCUCGAGGAAUGCCAGGUUUAGUACGGCUUUGGUGUAGAAUUGAUUUGGUACUGAUGGCAAAUUAUUGCAAUAUUUUUGAGAGAGAGGUGUGAAGGUUAAGAUUUUGCAGCGGAGAAGAAUUGAAAGUAUAAGAAGUAGAAAUGAUUUAGCCAUUGCCAUUGCUUUCUAAUUUCGGAUUAUCGUGUGAGCAAGAUGAUAUAUAGCCGGCUAAUGGACCUUGGAGAAUUUCUAAAAGAGUGGUGAUAUUGUACCAUUCAGAAAUUUUUUUGAUGAUAAAAUUAGUAAUCGCCCUAGUUCUUGCCUUUACAUAAUAAAACAUUUGCAUGAAACAUUUGAUAGAAUUAAUCAAAUUAAAAAAAAAAAGACAUUGUUAUCAAAGGGAGUAGACUUCAGAUUGGGAGUGGGCAGCAGGUCCUUAUUGGGAGUGAUCCUUGGUUGCCGGAUGCUGAAUGUGGUUAUAUAACCACGGAGCCGCACGAGGAGAUCAAAAUGGCGCCUGUUUGCAACUUGAUGGUUCCUGAGCAGCGACGGUGGGACUAUGAUGCUGUAACUGAUCUUUUCAAUGCAAGGGAUAGAGAAUUGAUCCUGAAAAUUCCCCUUAGCUCUCACCGGGACAGUGACUUAUGGCAUUGGCUGGCUGAACCUUGUGGCAAGUUCUCUGUUCGGAGUUGUUAUAAGUUGAUGACGUAUGAUGCUCAUAACUGUGCCUCUAGUGUGUGGAAGCGUUUAUGGAGGCUGGAUGUGUCGGGCAAAGUGAAAAACUUGAUGUGGCGUGCUGCUAAUAAUGUCCUGCCUACAGCUGAUAAUCUUCGGAGUCGCAAAGUCCAAGUGUCGCCCCUCUGCACUGUUUGCAAUGCCUCUAAUGAAUCUGUUCUGCAUACCUUGGUGGAUUGUGGCUUUGCAAAAUCUUGCUGGAUUGCCUCUCCGGUUGGUUAUACAGGUCAUCUCCCUUCCUUCCUAGCUUGGCUUGGCCAUAUUUUUUCCAGGUGCAGUAAAGAGGAGUGUAACCUUGCUGCCAUGAUUUGUUGGAAGCUUUGGACUCAUCGCAAUGACAAAGUCUGGAAUAAUAGAUGUGGGAGAGUUCACCAAAUUCUCAAUUCAGCUGAGCACAUGUUAUACCAGUGGCAAGUGUUGAGAAAGCAGGUCAUGCUUGCUGAUGCAGUUGCGAGCAGUGUGGUGCACGGGGCUGUGUGCUGGGAAAGGCCUCCCGUUGGAUGGGCUAAGUGUAAUGUGGAUGCUGCUGUGUUUCAUUCUCAAUCUUUGGUUAGUUAUGGCUGUGUGGUUCGAAAUUCAGAGGGCAUGUUUUUGGCUGCUAGCUGUGACAGAUUUCUGGGCAAGUUUGGGGCUAGAGAAGCUGAGGCUCUUGGUGUUCGGGAGGCACUUAGCUGGUUGAAGCAUCUGCACCUUCCUCGUGUGAUCAUUGAGAUGGAUUGUCUGCAAGUUUUUAAGGCUUUAUCUGAUAAGCAUUCUAAUCCUAAUGGUUUCGGCCUCAUUAUAGAGGAGUGUCGUUUUUUAUCGCAAAAUUUGAGAGAAGUGCAAUUCUCUUUUGUUCGUAGAUCUGCGAAUGCUGCUGCCCAUAGCGUUGCUAAGGUGGGAGGUUCGAAGUCAGAUUAUAGCGAGUGGAGGGGUGUUCCAUCUCGCUGGCUCUUAAAUCAUUUGUAAUCGCUUUUCUGUUUAUGAAUUUCUCUUCAAAAAAAAAAAAAAAGACAAAAUACUGACGAAAACAACAGUACUGAAAUAAUAAUAAUUUACUUAAUUAACACUGUGAAUGGGCAGUAAUACGUCAGUUCUGUCUCUUUAUCAUUUUCUAUAAAUUGAAGAAUAUUAUAUUCAUUUUAGACUAACCGGAACUUCAUGUGUCUAGUUUAUGAGACCCAUGUGGCUUUUGUCUUUGUGAUAAUAACACUGUACAAUUCUAAAAAGUUUGCAAUUUUAUAAUUUUUAAUUUCAUGUAUUUAAUACUUGAUUUUUCAGUUUGAUUGUGAUUCACUUUCUUGAAUUGAGUUAAUUUAGAGAAUAGCUUAAUCUAUGAUAGUGCGGAGAUUUAGUAAAAUUUUCCGUUCAGAUUUAGCCAUUGUGUCACCUUCUUUCAAUAGAUACAAAUCACCCAAAAGUUCUUGAUUUUGGUAGUUUGCGCUUUGUAUUGCAACGUACGGUGUGUUCAAUAUGAGAAAAAAUAUAUAUUAAACAUUUCUGUUGUUUUCUUGCAGUGCCACCUGAUGCUUGAUCUUUUUAGUCAUCAAAUUGAUGUUUAUCUGUUCAUUUGUAUCAACGAGUUAAGAUAAUUAACAGUUUUCUAGAUAUUUUGUACACAUAAAAUAAUGCCAUAAUUGAAUUUGCCCAUGGCCAUGCACAUACAAGUAGUCAAAGCAAAAGAAUCCACAUUCUAAUUUAAAAGAUCAAAUCUAAUGCCACGAAUAUAUAUAUAUAUAUAUAGUCAUAACUAAAAUUUCGUACUUAUGAUGUCUAAGUUACAGACAACAACAAUUGUUUUUGUGCCCAGCCACUUUUGUCGUAAUCAUUUUGUGGGAAAUGGAAAUUGGAUCAGAUACCCUAAAAUGCUUCUUUAAUAACCCUUCUUAUUUUCCAGUAGAGUUGUAUCUGACUGCUGGCUCCUUAACUUGUCUUCCAAGAAAUCCAAUGCAAAUGACUGCAUGAACAAGUAAAAAGCUCAUAUCACGACAGAAUCUUGAAUCUUCAUCUAUUAUUAUUCAGCAUUAGGAAAGAUAUACAUAUAAUAAUAAUGAAGGGGGAAAAAUAUGCACACCUUUAUAUUGCUUAGGGUCAAUUCACCAUUCAAUACAUACUUCUCGCCAUUGAAAAAGCCAUUGACAGCAAUUACCUGCAUUGAAAUUUGCAUAGCAACCCAAUUUUUCGUAUUUAAUUACGGAGGAAAUUAAAAAAAAAAAAAAAAAAAAAAAAAAAAAAAAAAGCAUUCAUAAAGAUUUAACAGAAUCUGAAGAUAAAGCAAGGAACUCACUCUUGGAGCGUGACCUGUGAUACCAAAAUAAUCAGAAAUUUGUCUCCUAUCAGUUUGCAACAAGUCCAUUUGAAAAUACACAAAGAGAAGCUGGCAAACAAUUAAUUUCAUCAAUUAUUAUUUAAGAUCCUAAUGAUAAUUAUUUUGACAGGCUAUUAAUUUCAGUGGGUUUCUGUUAACCAAGUUUCGACAAAAUUUUGCUUGAUCUCUCUACAUCUCUAUAUUUACCUUUCCUUUAAAAGCUUUGGCUGCCUCUUGAAAUAUUGAUUUAGUCUCAGAAUCAUGAACAGUCGCAAAAAGCCAUAACUGAGAACAAAUUUAUGAACUCGUUAAGACCUGAAAAUUUUUUAAUUUUUCCAAGGUAAAGAUGAUGUAAACUAAUAAUUACCUCUUGCAAGCGGGAAUCUAAAAUCAAUGCAGCAGUUUCCCUGGUGUAAGUAAUCAUCGGAGGAAUCUUAUUCAAUGAUAUGAAGUCAUAAAUUCUUGCAUCAGUAAAUGGACCAUCUGAGAAAAUGGAGCAAAAAAUGCACAAGGCUUGUGUAAAUUUUCCAUUUUGAAGCACUCAGAAUCAUUUGUAGAGAGAUAACUUCUAAUACUAACCAAAGUGGCUAAGCUGUUUAGAUUCCUUUUCCAGCAAGACUAGAGCAGGGCGUUUGAUUUCUGGGUCAAUCAGAAACAUCUUUGCAACAUCAGCUCUAGUAGUUUGAAAGAAUAUAACAUCAGGAUGCAGCUUUGAUGCGGCCGCAAGCUUUUCACUUUCCGUGCCCUAACAAACAGAAUUGAGUCUUUUGUAACAUUUAUGAUUCAAUAAGAGAUGUUAAAAUAGAAACAGUCUAAGAAAUUGCUCAUAUUAUGUGAGUGGGAGUGGACCUUUAAAGACUCAAGGAAUCCCAAAGCAAUUGUAGAUUCAGCUGUUAGUAAGUAAUCCGCUUUCUCUAUUUUCAUCAAGGUGUAAAGAUCACCAGACAUCUUAGUCUUUAUAUAAUUCACAAUAGCAUCCCUUCAAAACCAAAAUUUGUGUUAGAUUAGGUUAUUCAUUUUGCACACUUUCUCAACAACCAAACAGAUUUAGAAGGGUUUUAUUGAACAAAAAAAAAUCCAACAAAAGAAAACAAAUGUUCAAAGAACAAAAAGAAAACUCACUUCGUCCUGUUAUGAUAAUAAGUAUCCACAUGCACUCCAUUAACAAAGAAAUAAACAGUUGGGUAUGCUUGAAUUCUCCAUUUUUUCGCCAACUCUAUCACGCUCAUAGCAUUAACUUUUGCUAGCACUGAUUUGCCCUUCAGCUCAGUGGCAGCGGCUUCAUAUUCUGGAGCAAGUUUCUUGCUCUGGGGGGACCAUGGUGCAUAAAAAAGCACCAUCACAAGCUGAUUCUUGGCUAUAACAUGAUUAAAAUUCUUGUCACUUAGUUUCACCACCACAUCUUCUUUUUCAUCAAUUGCCGGUGGCAACUUGUGCUUUUGAUCAUUGAAACUGUUGUAAGAAUCUGAAAGUUCAACAGUGUUUCCGUAAGAGAUUGGAGGAAGUUUCUUGAAUACGGAAACACACAAUACAUAGCCUCCAUCAUAAUCUAUUUUGUAAACACAGAAAGGCGAAAGCCGAAAAAGAAUAAACAAAAGAAAUAUUGUGGUGGAGAGCAUAAGGAGAUAAGCUUUUGUUGACAUUGUUGAGCAGCCGGCCAAGAGUAGGUGUCUGUAAUUUGUACUUGAAAUCUUCAAAUAAUUGUUGGCUAAUGACAAGAGAAAAGUAAUUAAAUGCUCCUUGUGUUAAUUAUUUUCACAUAUGCAGACAAAAGGCUAAAAAUAUUUUUUUUUUAAAAGUUAUCUUGAUUUCUUUUCAGAAAUUACAUUAUUAACACAUUGUUGAUAGAAAGGAACCCUCUAGCCUGACAAAGCACAAUCGAUGAAGGCAAGAUCCACAUCUCUAUCUCAUAAAACCAGUGCUUCUGUGAACAUCACUAUGGAACAGUACUGUCACUGAAUCUUGAUCAUCUCUUAUUAUAAUCUUUAAAAAGCAUCUGCUUGGAAUUUGUAUUAGAAACUUUCUGUAUGUGAAUGGAAUACCUACAUUUGUUCACAAAUUUAAUUAACUUCUCCAAUUAUUUCUUUCUGGAUCAACUUCAGUAUUUUUGAGACGCAUGCAGAGUUACACAAAUUCACCACCAAUUGGAACAACAAUGUCGAAGACAUAUUGUUGCAAAUAUCACAUACUAACGGAAACUUGCUUCUCUUGCUUUCUCAUUUCAAUUGGGACUAGAGUGACAUUUCUUCUGAGUUAAAAAACGGGAAACAUCUCUGUGUGGCCCAAUCCAUAUCUUGUGGAAUCCUUUGAAGAACGAGCUGAAUCACACCAGGAGGAAGAUACAACUAGGCCCAACACAUAACCUGUUGCAAGCCCAUCGCGAAUGAGAAAAUCACCCAACUGGCUGAAGGAUUAUGUUGUUUGAGAAGCAGGAAGUUGUGGAUUUCUUUCUAGAAUCUUUUAUCCGUUUGAUAUUUUCUUUUGGCUUUACAAUUGCUAUUUUUUGUAACCACCUUCUGUUAGAGGUUGUUAGAGGUGAAGCAUAUAAGCAUUGUAAGGUUUAAAAAGCAAAGGAAUGAAAAUACUCAAUUCUCUUUCUUCUCUGGAAUUUUCUUUCUUCUUAAUCUUUGUUCUGCUCUUAAUUCUUUUUUAUUUGGAGCUGGCACUCGCUCGAAGAGUGUUUUGUUGAGUUGAUUUGCUUGUGUUGUAGGAUAAACAUAUCAUUGGUGCUUUCAUUGACUUUUCCAUGGCUGAUUCAGAGGUGUUGGCAGCAAUGAAGGCACUCCAAACACAAUUGGAAGGCCAAACAAUUGCGAUUCAUCAAAACUUGCAGCAGUAUCCACAGUAGAUUCGUCCCAUUGAUCACCUCCAUAUUCUCCAAAAGUCUCAACCAACUUGGCAUUGCAGUUCAUUAAAUUAUCUAAUCUUACAAUAACUUCUUGGAUUCUUCUUUUUAGGCUAACCGGAUCCUUCUCUCUUCUUAAGUUUGAACACCCUUUUUCUGGAAGCAUUUCUCGCUUCAACCAUUUAACCUCUUCACUUUUUCUCCGAAUAAUAAACUCGUGACUCUUUAUGAUCUUAGCAACAGAUUGACCAACACCCUCUUCUGAUUCUACUUCUUCAACCUUUGAGGAAAAAUUCGCACAACUGUCUCCUUCUGAUAAAGAUCUUCGCAGCCUCGGAGGAAUAUUCCUCUCAAUAUUAGUUUUGGUUGAAGAUUUUAAAUUCUCAUUCCCUUUUGCAGCUUUCAGUUGAGCCUCGUUCUGAUUGAUAAAGCUCUCAAGCUCAUUACGCAAGCACGUAACCUCCGUCAUCAAAUCUGACAAAUGCUCACUCAAGCUCAUGAAAACUUGCUUCUCUUGCUUCCUCAUUUCCAUCUCAAAGUUCUCCUUAAAAUCGUUAACAAAACCAUUAAUCAAUGUACAAAUUGCAUCCUUCUCAAUAGUCCACCUCCAUUGCUGCUCCUGGGGCCCCAGCUCAGACAAAAAAAUCGCAUUCUGCAUUUUCCCAAAAGCCUGAUGCAAAGUCUCUUUCAAAAUAUUAAUAUCAGAACCCAUCUGCUCAAUCUUUUUGUGAUCAAUACCGCCAUUCUUUUCCUCAUCAAUAACUUCAUGCUCGAUAUGCAAGACUUGUUGAUCAACUGAAUGUAUCAACUCAGAAAUUUCACUAUCUCUAUCCUCAUCCCGACUUCCAGGACUGCUCAUACUGAGCUCAGCGACACCAUCACUCUUUGUUCUUUCAAGCUCCACGUUAGCAUUUUGCAAAGCAACCAAUUCUUUUUCCUUCGCAUCUAAUGCUUGCCUAAGCUUCAACUCAUUUUCAAACCUCUCCGUCAAUUCCUUAUCCUUUUCGCGGAGAGCCAUUUCUGAAUCCUGAAGGCGACCCUGGAGACGGUCUUUAAUUUCUUCCAAGUCUGCCAGGACUUUUUCAUGGCAGCUUUCAAACAUGUUGUUGUCUGCAUCCUCCUGGACAAAUUUCAUGCACCCUUCUAGUUGAAUUACUGCAAGUUCAUAGAAUUUCGAUAUCUCAUUCAAGCGCUGAAUGACGCCAUCUUUGGACUUUACUUUGCCGUGUGCUCUGUCCAUUGCGUAGUGCACAAUCCACGUCAUUGUUGCAUCUGUUAAAGAAAUUCUUAGUGUGCCUUCAAGCAAUCCAAAAAGGCCAGCCAUUUUUUUUUUCUUUUUGUUUGGUUCAUCUAUUGAAAAUGAAGCAAUAGAAAUGUGAAUGAGAUCUUCUGUUUUAUGUUUCCUUGAAAAUUGGUGAUCUAAUUGACUUAUUCUAACUUGUUACUUGUUACACAUAUGUUGAAAAUGUGACCAGAAUUAUUCCUAUAUUUCAUUUAAAUACUAAUGCAUAUUACCAUAUAUGCAAAGAUAACAAGGAAUUGACAAUUUUAGGGAACUCACGUUAAUUUUUUACCUUUUUUUAAUAGAAUUUUUUAUCAUUAAAUCAAAAGGAUUUGUUGUAAAUUUGAAGGUUAUGAGACCUUUAUUACUUGAAAUGACUGGUUUGUCCUUCGUUUCCUUCGAGAGCCCGAAAAGUUCUAAACGUUCAACGCUCAAGCUAAUAUUUUUUUUUUGUUUUAACCACGAGGUAUCUUGAGGAGGGCCCCAACUAUGGGAGAUACUUUUAAGUCUGUACCAUAACCCAGACUAGAAGUUCCCGCUCGAAUCAAGAGGCACAAAUUCUCCCAACAAAAGUGAUUUUUCUGUAACUCAAACUGGGAAGCAAACUCAAUCAAACCACUUAACAGUGACUCCAUUGUCAGUAAAGCCAACACUUUGUUGGUAACGCUCAAGCCAAUAUAGACGGUUAGGAUGUCCUCCUCAAUUAAUUUGAGAGGAAAAUUACAGAUAAUAUGUAUGGUUUGAUGAAGGAGCAAAGGAACAUUAAAAAGGUGUAAUUAACAUUGCCAACGAACGUGCCCAACAUUAAUUUAUUAGUUGUUUCAAAUAAAGCAUCCACUUGGCAUACUAUAAUUGGUUGUUUCCUACAGCAGCCACUACAUAUCUCAUUAAGCGCCAGAAUCUAACUCAGCGGCAGGGCGCGAACCAUAACUGCCCUUGGCAGCGCGUGAAGCUCUUUCUCUCAGCCACUCCACCAUCUCUCCAGAAACCAACUCAACGUUCUGCUCAGGCUCACCAAUCAGCUGACGCCACGUGCCUAGAUAAAUCCUCAGCGUCUUAUCCUUACUGGCUACAUGUUUAUACAACUCUUCAACGCAGGCGGGAUCGCAAACGACGUCGUCUUCCUCUUGGGGCUCAUUGAGUACUUUUUAUACUCAAAUCCCUUGCAAAUCCCUCGACACGCGCAGCAACUCCAGCACGGUCGCCGCACGCGGCCUUGGCUCCGACCUCCUGGGGCUCGACAACGCCAGCUUCCUCUUCCACUCCUCCUUGAAGGAGACCAUCGGGAGAGAACCGUGGGUGGGACCCACGCGCCAGGAAGGCACCAGCCAUACGACUGUGAAGAGAAGGUGCUCGAAGGGCCAUGGAGGCUUGAAUUUCUGGCUAAUCCCGCACAUGGCCCCAUUCAAAAUCAAACCAUCCCACGCGCCCUUCUGACGGAGCGUGAAGUAAAGAGCUAUGGCCCCACCCAAGGACUCGGAAUACAAAAACGCGGGCAAAUCCGGUGCGUGUUUCAGAAUAGGGAUGGCAAAAUCCGGGUCCGGGUCCGGGUUCAGCCUUUCCGGAUUCGGACCCGGACGAAUAUUUUUAUGUACCGGACCCGGACAUAACCCGUAUUUUUUCACUCCGGGUCCGGUCCGGGUUCAACCCGAAAAAAUCCGGGUUUUCGAAUUGCGGGUUUCCAACUCAGAUUGAUGAAUCUAAUUUUAAAAAAAAAACUAAAUUCAACUGACAAAUGGAAAUACAAAUCUAGGAUUUCAGCAAAUUAAAUACAAAUUCAUGGCCUAAACUAACCAAAUACAAAUCAGCUUGGUUCGAAUCGAUUCGGCAUUCACGAACUUGAAGGAUUGGCAUCCGGUGAGACAACGAACGGUGAAGGCAAGCUCGCUACUUUUGAUUGUAUCGGAGCUAGUUAUUGUUCGUGACGGCGGCUGAUACAAGUGACAACGACGAUGAUUUGAUGAUGAACAACCGCGAAAGUUGGCAAGACGAGCUGAUGAUGAUGAUGAACAGCCGCGACGCGAAGGUGGGCAAGAGUCAGACGCCAAGACAAGCUGAUGAUGAUGAUGAUGAGCCGUGAAGGUGGGCAAGUGAGUGUGACGACGAUUUGAUUUGAUUUGAUGAAGACGAGUUGAAGAGGGAGAGGAAAUGUGUUGCUGCGGCUGUGAAUGAAUGAAGCCCUAGAGCACCUUUGGGUUCUUUUUUUUUCUAUUUAUAUUGAAAAUAUUUUUAAAAAAAUUAAUAUUAAAAUUAAUAAAUAUCCGGGUCCGGAUUCCGGACAUACGGGUUCGCCUAAAAUCGGAACCGGACCUGGACAUGUGCGGGUUUGUAAAAUGGGUUCCGGGUUCCGGAUUCCGCAUUUUUAUACAUCCAGUCCGGGUUGAACCCGGACCGGAUCAUCCGGGUUUAUCCGGGUCCGGAAAAAUUUGCCAUCCCUAUCUCAGAAUGACAUAUCACAUGUUAUAUUAAUUAUUUGGGAUGAAAUUUAAAAUAAAUAAAUUUAGUAUGCUUGCUUUUGCAUAAAACCUUUUUUUUUUUUUGUAGGGUUAUUUUGGAUCUAAUAAUUUAAUUUACAAAUAUACUUUUGUUUUAUCAAUAAUAACAUUUAAUUUGCAACUGCUGGGGAUCUCUACUCCCUAGUGUUGGCUCGAGGAGACCUUGGCAACAACCAUUGCAACGAAUAUAUGACAAGUUUUAUCGCGACAAUUACUUGCUAAUUGAUUUCUUUGCACUUGAUGUACAACACAUAUCAUAUUAUAUCAAUUUUAAAGCUAGUUACUGAGAAUUCUAACAUAAUCAAAUGCAUAUAGGAGCAAUUAAUUGACAAUCAACACACCAAUUAGAAAAGCUAAACAUGUGUAAGGAAUUUACUGAGUAUCAGUAACAUAGUAGAAAUAUGGUAAAGUUAUGGUGAGACAUCUGUGACAAAAAAAUAAGUCAAUAUUCAAUUAUUAAAUAUAAAUUAUCAAUAUAUUUGGUAUUGAGGUGUUGUGAUUAAAAAAAAUGAGAAAGUAUGGUAAUAUGUAAUAAUUUUAAAAGUUAUUAUGACUUUUUAUUGUAUAAAUAAAAUAAACUUAAUUUUUAGAUUAUAGUAGUAAGUAUUUAUUAAGCACAUUAGUGUUGGAAUUUAAAAGCUAUACUUUCCAAAAAUAAUUAAGCAGGGCUAAUACCUAAAACAAGUCUAACAGAAUUUUUUUUUAUUUCUAGAAAAUAAAAAAUGCAUGUGAUAUGUAAUUUGUGGGGAUUUGAAUUUACAGAAGCAGAGGAAACAAAAGAAUUUUAAAAAAGCGAAUUGCUUUAUGAAAUAAUUUUUCUGCAUCCUUUAUUCAAACAGCUUUAGGCUUUUUAUAAGAGCCAAUUGGAAACACGCAAUCUACGCUAGUAACUGCCCUUGGAACAACAAAAGACACCCUAGACAAUAACAGAUGAAAUACGAGAAAUAAUAGGAAAUAUGGGUAAUAAUAUUGCACACAUAGUUGAUAGACCACGUGUCAAGCACCCAUUUAUUUCAAAGCUCUUAUUAUUAAGUCCUAGACUCCUCGUCUCAAGCAUGGCUAUCAGGUACGUGGGAAGUUUGUCAAAUGCAUGGGUUCUUGCUCGUCUUUGGGAGACAUAUCAGCAUUCUUGGAAAGAGAUACACGCAAGACAAUCAACACAAGAUUUGCUUUAUUUCUAGGAUGCAUGGGCAUGCACUCUACUUAUAGAACUCCAUAACGCAGAGAUUACCAAUAGCAAGUUCACAACUGAUCCCACCAAAACCAGCGCCAGUAGCCAGGGUCAUGAAUUCAUGCCUUGUUCUCUCCUUUCCACCGGGACUAUGAAUCAUCAUAAGCACGUCAAAAUGGGAAUUUGAUUUUGAUUCAAUGCUUGUAUUAGGAACUUCUGGAAGCAUUGUCUCCACAACGAUUACCUUUCCAUCUUCUGGGAUGCUUUUGUAGCAAUUCUUCAACAACUUCAAGCAAUGUUCAUCAUUCCAAUCGUGCAGUACCCACUAUUUAAAAAUUCUCAUAUUAUUCAAACUAUUGUUUGUAAAAAUUUAAUUUAAGGAACUCCUCAUAAUAUGUCCGCAAAUUAAAUUAAAAACUUACCUUCAUAAAAAUGGCAUCACCUUUUGGAACACUUUGGAACAUAUCACCCGGUACAUGAUCAAUACCUGUAAAAUAUUAUACAAUUAAGAAAUCAGACAAUUAGAAUUAUGACACUCUAUUUUCAUUAGCAAGAUGUAUUACGUCAAGAACUGUUUGCUCAAACUUAAUUAUGCCAAUGUUAUGGAAGUUCCUGAUAUACAGGCACACACAACAGAUGUCCUCAUUUUUUUAAAUAUAAAUUUGGAGUUUUACAAGAUUUUCACAAUAGUAAACCACUGAAGAAUUAUACACACACACAUAUAUGAGAGCAGGUUCGAGGGAUAUUUUUUUAAUACAAUUUUACAUAUAAAUUUCUAACAAUUAGGUUAAAGUUUAUCACAUGGUUAAUAUUAAAACUGCAUGCAGUUUUAUAAUUCUAAAAAUUAAUUAACUAGACGCAAGUCCCUACGUCAAACAAUAAACAUGAAACACGACGCUCUUUCCUCUCUCUUAUCAUCUUAAUUUUAUUUAAACUAAGUAAUUUCAUUCAAAGAUUGAAAUUACACUUGAUUUCGGGAGGAAGAUCUUCCAAUCAAAUUACAGGCAACUUAAAAUGAAAAGCUGCCUUAGCUAACACGAGUAUGCGUGUUUCAGGCUCUUCGGAUGAACUGAAUUCUAAAUCAGCAUUGUCCUUAAUUUCCUCUUGAAUGUCGAACAACACUUAAAAGAUUUCCUUUGCUUGACAUCAUGUUUAGGACAUUCAUAUAUUUCUCUUUUUAACUUAUGUGCUCAUCUCCUUCAAUCCUCCCUCUACUCAUUAUAAAACAUUUUUUUUAUUCCGAUGGCUGUUGGAUGGAUGUUACUACUACAAAUUAAAAUAUAGUACUUCCCUAGUUCUCUGUAUGUUUACUUUAUAGUUAUCCAGUAAAUCGAAAUGUGAUUAGAUGACUAUGCUUUGUUAAUCUUUUAAAAAAUAUAUGUAGAAACGAUUGCCAACAUUUUUUUUCCAAUAUUUACAUUUGGUUUAAUAAACAAAUUUAUGUAGAUAACAUCUUUUUUUAUGGCUACAUGAAUGUGUACCUUAGUUCACUGGUAAUUUAGAGGGAGAAAUAAAGGGUAAUACAAAGGUGAGAGAAAAGUAUUUUACUUUUACUAUUAAAUUUAAUAAUAUGACACCUACGCGAAUUAAUUAGUUUUUUAAAAUAACAAAAUUACACGUGAGCUUUAAUAUUAAUCCUUGGAUGAACUCUAUUAGAAAGAAAUUUGUUUCUAAAAGUAUCUUUUUUAAACUUGCCCCCAAAAUAAGGAAUCUUCUAAAAAAAGAAAAAAGAAAACAAGCAUUCUGAGUAUUAUCCUUAGUUUAUCCUUUAUUUUAAUAAAGUAAGGAACCCUUAUAUAUAUAUAUAUAUAUAUAUAGAGAGAGAGAGAGAGAGAGAGAGAGAUAGAUAGAUAGUAAUGAUCUAAUCCAAAAUUUUGGGUUUUGUUAAAAACCGAAAAAAAUCAUAAUUUCAAAUCGUUCAAUAGUCCAUUAUACUAUUAAAUCAUAUGACUUACUAGAUUUUUUGGACUUUAACAAAAUUUGUGUCGCGAGAGAGAGUCCUUCUCUAGUAAGGAAAUCUUCACUUUUUUAAAAUGAGAAUGUUACUAAAAUACAAAAAAAAAAAAAAACACAUAUUUCAAUACAUUAGAAACUGUGUUUUUUUUAUUUAUUAGUAGCAUUCUCAAUUUAACAAAGUGAAACAUAUAUAUAUAUAUGUAUAUAUAGUCUUUCUCUAAGGUGGGUGCCCUUUUUUUUUUUUUUUUAAAUGAGGACACACUAUUAAACCGUGCGAUUUAACGGCGUUCUUCAUUGAUUCUAUUAAAUCGCACAGUACAACAAAGUGUUUGCACUAAAAAUAAAAUGAGGGUGCCCGCCCUAGCGAAUGACUAUAUAUAUAUUUAUGAGAGUUCUUGCACUUUAAUAAAGUGCAAGAAAAUUGUUACCGCAUAUGGUAUAAUAGUGUAAUGUCCCGACAAGUACUCGUAUAUAUAACAUGAGAUUAAUAACCAUACGUGGAUGUGGUGGGGCAUGGUCAAUAACAUGAGGCUGGUCGAAAUUGAUGCCCUUAAUAUAGGGGUACUUGGUAGUGAUGGCUUGAAGAGUAACGCCGAGACUGCCACCAACAUCGACCAGUUGCUUGAUGUUGUCGAAGCCCUUGUAAGAUUCAAGAAUGUUGCUCAUAACCAGGGAGGUAUAGUUAUACAUUGCUGCGUUAAAAUGUUUAUUGAACCUAGGGUCCAAUCCUGCGUACUCAAAUAUAUGCACUCCAUGGGCUCGAUUAAAUGGAAUUCCUCCUUCAAGAAUAGCAUCUUUGAGUUGGGACCUACAUAAAUUCCGAAAAAUCAAUUUAUCAUGCAUCGUCUAUAUAUAUGCUCCAUGCAUGCAUGCAUGGUCUAGCUGAUCAUUUACUGAGAAAAAGAGAGAAAUAGAAAUUAAUUAAUUACCAGCUCUCCAUAAUGACCUUGUCCUGAAUUAUUUGUAUUAGGGGGCCUAGUAAGACGCCAUCUUUGUUAGGCACAUAGUAUUUGGAGACAGAAUUCAAACUAUAUAGUCUCCGGGCACCAGAAGCAUCAAGUGAGCAUUCAACAACACUGUAGCUAGCCAGAAGCCUGAGAAUCCGAUCCAGCAUCAUGGGUGCGUCUUUGUUCUUGGUGAGCAACUGGGCUGCAAUAUCUGAAGCAGAGAGCUUUGCACCAGGACCAGCUUUGUCUAGGAUCUCGAAAAUGCCUAGCUCAUACACCGCUUGAAUGGCCAUGGGUAGCACUGUACCCAUCGCCAAUUGAUCAGCAUAUGCAAAGCUUUGGUCUCUUUCUCCAUCAACUAUAGAAUCCAUUUUAAGUUUCUUGAAUUUCUGCUACGCUUUGUGGGGUUUCUUGUUUGGCCAGGGGGUUAUAUAUAGACUUGUCAUUCAAAACUAUCAAGAG